Molecule: long non-coding RNA, 52511 nt
Filed under: Coffea arabica (coffee)
Lineage: Eukaryota; Viridiplantae; Streptophyta; Magnoliopsida; Gentianales; Rubiaceae
Description: long non-coding RNA (CARA_LNC007693)
Source: RNAcentral
UAAAAUCGAAGCCUCAGCUGAUGGAGGGUCAAUCUGUAAGACCACCAGCACAUACUACCCCAAGGGCAAUAUCGAGUAUACCGAAGAACAAAUUGAGGGAGCAAAACAGCAAAUUAAGGCAGCAAAAGAAAGGUCCUCGGCCAUGUUCAAGGCUGUGGAAGCCUACCUCAUCGCAAAUCCUGAUGUAUACAAGUGAUCAAUGCUGCUUCAUAUAUGUCCACAUACUUGUUGGAUGAUUGAAAUAAACAUAUUGAGGAUCUGUUUUCUUUGGUAGCUCUUUUCUUGAGCUUCAAUUGUUGGGUAAUGCGAUUUUAAUGUAUCAUCAAACUGUGUUUUGCUUGUAAUAUUUUACCGGUCAUCAAUAAUAAAUCUUGUUUGAAGCUUUGAUUUGUGAUUGCGCCGUGAGUGACACCUAAAUUUUUAAUGCCUAUGUCGAAAUUUGAAGCACCUCAUUGAUUGGAGAAUCCUCAGAAGAAAUCUAUCACCAUUUUAGCAAUUGCCAAAAAUUUGCUUAUGUAGUUUAAGGUUAAGAAAUGUCAAAGUUGGUUAGUUGAGUUCUUCACUAUCUAUGGAAUCCAUAGUUUCUGUUGAUUAUAAAUGUCUACAAUUGUUGCAUCAUUGACUAUUAGCACCCAUAAGUAUGCUUAUACAAGUGUCUAGCCUCCAACUCAGAUGGAGUGCUAAGAAAAUACAAGAAAAGUGAAAAUUUUGUUUCAAAAAACAGUCAUCUAUAGUUAUUUAUACAAUUAUUACUAAAGUGGUCCAAUCAAAUCCCUUUUUGAGUAUAAGGGAUUUCAAACCGAAUUUAGCAACUUUCAUACUCUAUUUUGCCAGUGAGAAGGUGUCACCUGUGGAGCUGAACACAGCAGAGUAACCAUCAUUAGUUUAAUUUCCAGAGGGACUGACGUAUAAACUGAAACUUUUGUUAUAUGAUAAAUCUCCACAACAAUACCCUUCAAUGUGGAAUUUCUAUCAAGUUUGGUUAUCGUCUUGAAAUGAAGAUUCUAGACCUGACAGGAAUCUUCUCGAAGGGAAGGGCGGAUACCAGCCAACUUGUCUAACUGAUUCAACCUUAGUUGCCUUGCUGUGGCAAUUAACACACUUGGUCAGAGACUUCCAAAACUUGGUUCCUUAACAAAAACAAAGUUCAUUCACUACAACUACUUUACAGGAGCCAAUACUCUUUUUUCUUAUUUGGGGAAAUCUUACCUCUCUUCUGAGUUUAUCAGCUGCUAUUGAUGCCCUCUAAGGAGAACUCCAGAUGCACUGAGAAAAUUAAGAUUCCUAACAUUCUGCAGCAACAAUCUAUCAGGUAUAUGCCCAUCAUCCAUUAACAUGGUGGAGAACUUCCAUCAGGCUUUGUGCUCGUGCUUCCCCAUCUUCAUCUUUAUCAGCUUGGAAGCAACAACUUUACUGGAGCUCUUCCACUUUCACUAUCAAAUUCUACAAAGCUAAGGCUGUUUAAGUUGUCAAGCAACAGUUUUACUGGAAAGGUGUCAAUUUUUUUAAAACCUACAACAGCUUAUGGAGAUACUUCUCCAGAAAAAAACUAAUGUUGUUAGUGGGGAACUAGAUGAGCUCAAUCAUUUUUGAAUUCACUAACUGCAGCAAUCUGGAUUUUACGAUGAGCUAUAACAAAUGAUGCAUGCAGAUUCUCCACUAAGCUUGUACAGUUUGCAGUAACUUCACACAGGUUUAUGGUGACAUUCGUUGUGCAUUGGUGAUCUUGUCAACCUAAAUUGGUUAUUUAUGGAGUAUUAUGACAAGCCCACUGCCCUUUUUUCCCACUGGAAUUGGUAAUCUUCAAAAGCCAAAAAAGGCUGAACUUUAUCAGGAAACCUUCCAUAUCCUAUGGGAAAUUGUUGCUCUUGAAUGAUCUAUGGCUGAAUGAAAACAAAUUAAAAGGAUAUACGCCUGCAAAAUUUGGAAACUGUCAAAACUUACUAGUUCUCAAUCCUUCCAGAAAUAAGCUCAAUGGAACCGAAGUAGAAAGUCUCUUCAGUAUAGCAUUGUUAUCAAUCAUUAAGUCUAGCACAAAACCAUUUAACUGGAUCUAUUCCUUCAAUUCUGGCAACCUGAAGAAUUUUGUUGAGUUGGCCAUAUCUGAAAAUCAUUUAUCUUGUCCAGAGAACUUUCUUGGGACCUGCAGCAACCUAGCAUAUUAUACCUAAAGGGGAACUUCUUCCAGGGGCCUGUCUCUCCAGCUAAGCAGAGUUCACAACUAAGAUCUUUCUCUCAACAACUUUAUGAAGAAUCUAUUAUAUCCUUUUGCAGACAUUAGUGCUGUACCAGUUAUCAGACAUAAUAGUCGUACAGUGUGCGUGCACCUGUUCUUAGCUGUAGAGAUGCAACGUCAGAAAACGAAAGCUACGGAAGAUGUAUGUUAUCCACAAAAUGAUCCCUUCAGUAGUUUCUAUGGUUCUUAGAGCCACCCUGUUGUUGUCUUUUAUCUACUGCUUUAUUUGGAGCAUAAAAAAGUUUUCCCUGCAGAAUCAACCACAGAAAAUCCACCUGGAACAUUCUUACAGGAAAACUACUUCAAGCAAAUAAUGGAUUAUCCAAAGACAAAGUAAUUUGUAUGCUAGCUUUGGUGCUGUUUAGGAUAAUUUGACCACAAUGGACUAACUAUCACUGUUGAAGUAAUCAAUUUUCAACAUAAAGGAGCUUCCACAAGUUUCUUGUUGAACAUCAUCUUUAGGCAAGUGUUUGGCAGAAAUCAUAUUAAGAUUACAAACUGCUUGCUCGAGUAUUGAUUUUCACAAAAAUGAGUUUAUAGCUCUACUUCUUGAUUAAAUGCCCAAGGGACGUCUAGACAAAUAGAAACAUCCAACAAACUAAAUCUUUUUCAAAGAACAAAUAUUACAUAGGAAGUUCAAUUCAUUACGUUCACAACCAGUGCCAGAAACAAAUUUUUGUGAUAUAAAGCCAGGUAAUGUUCUUCUUGCCAUGAUAUAACGGCUUGUGGGAAAUUUCGGUUUAGCCAGAUUUCUACUAGAAGUGAAAACUUUGUAUAAGUAUGGUCCAACAGGAGUAAAAAGGAACUGUAGGCUAUGGAGGUCCAGGUGAUAAAUUUUUGCUUUGCUCGGAAUUUGCAACAUUGUUCUUUCUAAAAGAAGUUAUAAAAAAAAAAACCCUUAAAAAAAUAGCAUUAACACAUACCAUAUAACUAACGAGGUAUUUCUCAAAUUUCAAAAUGUUUAUGAUUCUGCAACUGUCUAAAGCUUCCAUAUACAAUUGUUUGAUUUGACUAGUUGACAUUUAGCCUGCUAAAUACUGUGGUAUCUUAAGUCCUCAUGUUACAGCAUUCUUUUCUUUACCCAACAGUUCGAGGUUUCUAGAGUAACAUCAGAUGGGCAAUUAUAAAAAAUCUUCUUACUUGCAAAUUCUUGAAAGAUGCCUGAAUAUGGACCAGGAACAGAGCCAUCAAGGAGUUGGGCUGUCUACAGUUUUGGUAUCUUGAUCCAGCAGACGACGACCAGCAAGAGGCCAAUGGUCACUAUCCACAACUUUGCCAGGAUGGUUUUGCAUGACUAUACUAUAAGAAAUGUGGAUACAAUUAGCUCUAGAGUAUGAAGACGAAGAAGAGAAAACAGAGUUAAUUGACUAGAAAAAGUCUUCAAACAAGAGAGAGAUGGUGACUUACUGAAAUACUGCUUCAUUCAGUAGUCGAUGUUGGAUAUGACAGUUCUAAGGAAUCACCACAAAACAGAUUGGAAAUAGCAAUGCUCUCCAAGAGCUGUGAGAUUUCAGCGAAAUCCUAUGACAACAUGUCCGUUCCAUGGUGACCUGAUGAUCUCAUACACCAAGCUAUGCUCAGAAGAGAAAGAAACCCCACCCCCACCCCCCCCCUUUCCCAAAAAAAAAAAACAACACAGCAAGACAAAACUAAGAACAAAGAAGAAAGUAGAUGUAAGGUUGGGAUAAUGCCAGACCUUGGGCAUAAAUUCCUAUUGUAAUUACCAUAUAGAAAAGUAACACGGGUAAAAUCAGGUAUUCCCUUGUGAUGUGCAUAAACAACUCUUACUAUAAAGAUAAAUUUACAGGCAAGACCAAUUUCUUUUGCUUUGCUCUGUCAGUAACAACUAUCAAUAUGUCGUUUACAUGCUUGAAGAAAUUAGACCAGAAAGUUUACCUAAUAAAAGCUACUAUAUUUUGACUAAAAACAACAGACUGAAAUAGAACAAACUUAGAACCAAAAUUUAGAGUAACACAAGAUGCCAAAUAGGAUAAAACACCAUAUAUGAAGAAACAAAACUUAGAAUCUAUCUCAAACAAAGAAUAAAGUCCAACAAACUUUUCAGAACAUUUAGCCGCACUAUAACUGCAUAAUUGAAACAAAUGCCCAGUCAGACUACAUCAUAACAACUCAUAACUUGCAGCCCUUCAGUUUAAUUCCAGGGAUUUAUUAGAGAUAUGGUAAUUCAGAAACACACAUAAGUUUGUUAGCAUAAAGAAUAGAGUGGAAAACAGGAAACUCAGGGGAUUUAGAAAAGAGAAAUGCUAAUAAAGCACCAACAAAAGAAAAACAAAAACUAUCAAAUCUCUACAAACCAAGUCAUGGACAAGUGGCCUCUACCUAUUUCUCCCAAGGGAGUGAUCAAAGGAUACUAGAAAGGAAGAGUGGGUUGAGAGAGAGAGAGAGAAUACUCCGUUCUAAAAUAAAAGAGUUGCAGACAGAAGUGUGAACAUAGUAUUAAAAUGCCAAUUAUAAAAUUGGAAGUUUAUCUCCCCACUCUUUACUUAAUAGCCAAAGUGAACAAUAUGAUAUUGCAUGCACAAUUGUGCAUUAGAAUGUGGAUUGGAAUUGCCAGAUAUGGAUUUACCAUUUAUUUUAGUAUUUCAUUUCAAUUGAAGUAGAUAAUAUAACUGCAGUUUAUUAUUGAACUAACAAAGCAUUUGGAAUCUUACAAACUAACAUGCCUAAUUAAGGUAAUGUUUUCUGCAAAUUAUCCCUUUACUGAUCUUGGCAUGGGGAUUCCUUUGCUUGCAGCUAGUUGUAGAUAACUAAAAGCACUCUUCUGGAUCUUUAAGUUCCACAAAGUAUCAAAACAUAACAUCUAAAAGUAUACAACCAUGAGAGCCUACAUCUCCUGUAACUAAUACUUGCACAUUCCAAAAGGAAAAUAUAAUAUCUCAUACAUAUGAAAACCUUUUAAAUGCACUCCGACAAAAUUGUUCUCCUCUCCUGGUUGGAAAAGAUGAAGGUUACUCUAGGAAAUAAAUGUAGAGCUUGAUAGUAAUGGAAGUCAAAUCUCAACAAUCAAACUUUUGAAAGUGUAGCAGACAAAACUAAUUUCAUGGAAAGCAUAUUGGAUGUCAUCAUAUUCCAAGUGGCAAGUAUUAAUCAAGUUGCUUAGACAGCAUUUAUAUUAGAACAAAAACUAAAAAAUGGCUUAAUCUCCAUAAAGGAAGAAGUUAUUGUGUUUGAUAAAGCAUUCCAAAUAUGUAUAAAGCAGUAUAUUCUUCUAUCCAACAAAUAAAAUUUGUGCAAAUACCAAUACAAGCUCAUAAAUCUGUGGUUGAUGAUUAGGUUGGAUCAAAACAAAUAAUAAUUAGGCUGGGUCCAGAAAAUAAAAGCAGAUCAUUCCUAAUUAAAGAGAAAAUUGUGAAGAAAGAACUUGCAGGUUUCUUUUCAGGCAAAAAUGGCCUGGACACAAAAUCUUAGCCAGGUCAUGCCACUAGGGUUUAGUGAUAUAAAAGAACUAAAGCAGUCAAUGAUUUCAAAGAUCACAAACUCAAGUAAGCAAUGUAUGGGUUCCAUUGUGCAUUUCAUCCAUAAUCUGCAUAACAGAACUUCUAAAUUACCGCCAGUGUGAUGCUAAAAUAUUGAUCUGGAUCAUAUUCUGUCACUUGUAUCAUAUAUACAUCGAACUCUCUUGUCCAUUCUGAAAUCCUAAACAAAACCUGGAUGUGCUCCUACUCACACCAAAGAGAUUCCAGGCACAAUUCUUCAUCUAGGACAUAAAUCAUAUUAGAAUUUCAUUCUCAACAAUUCAUCAGUAACCAGAGAUCAAACCACUAAUUGUUGGAAACUACAGGCCCUUGAGUACAAUGAGUUUCAAUAUUGAUGGUAAAUAGUUUUAACAGAGGGGGAAAUUUUCUGGAUAGAAAUUCUAUUUGCAGAAAAGACAUAACCACAGACGACUAUACCUCUGCGUUCUCAAGCUUUUGCACAAGCCUUGGCUUUCUAUUUUAGAUUCUUUCCUUGCCAGUCUCCAUCAAAAGAGACGAAAGAUGAGGUAAAGGAGAGGAAAUUUGUAAAAGACAGAGGCAGUAUUUUCGUUGCAACUACUUUCACUAAUGCCUCUUUCCAUUUCAAAUCAAAAGAUCUCCAACAAUAAAAGUUUGAAGCGUCAAAUGAUACCCAAUUAUUGGAUCCUGCUUGCACAAAGAUGAAGUGCUGUAUUUGCAGAACUACGAGCAUGAAAAGAAAGAAGUCUUGCUCUUUUGGAGAUCAGAAAUCCAGUUAAGAAAAAAACUUAAUACAUUUAUGGCCUAUUUUUGCAUUACUAAAAUAGUUAACACCACAUCAAUAAGGAUGGUUAGCAUCUAGCAAUAAGAUUAUUGCAUCAUAGCAACAGAAUUUGUCUACUCUAGAUUCCACUCAAACAGGCAAUGUGACAACUCAAUUUGGAAUCCAUCAAGUGGCAACCUCUUCAAUUAUUUUAGUAUAACGUGAAAUAUUCCAAAUAUUUAAGCUUUAACCCAUUGCACUGUUUUGCUAGCAGCAGGUUGAAGAUUCAAUUAGAAAAGAUAAUGACAUAGUGUACAGUAUUUCUAUUAUUAAUCACAUAGUUUUCUAAACAUCCAAAAUGGUGAAAAAUUAUCAAGGCACCCUUUAGAGCAAUCUGGUCUGCCUCCACAUAAAGUUGACAGAAAUGCAAGUAGAAACUAUUCAGAACUUGCUAGUGCUAGUCUAUGUCAUCUGCAACCCCCAAUCAUUGUUUUGGGAAACCAAGAUUCCUUUAAGCAUGAUCAAAUUUUUUACAUGCAAAGGAGUGAAUAGUGUUAAAAUGAAAGUCUCUUUACAGAGUCUUUUCUACGUAAAUAUGAAUACCUAAGCCAAAUGAAUUGGAAGAGUUCUUAACCACUUGAAAGACCAAAAAUUAGAAAAUAUGCAGUGAAACAGCUGAAUUGCGGAACCAAGCAAUUGCAACUUUGGUCUGAAUUUGAGAAUCAAGGUCUACUAACCACCAAUUUUUGAGCUUUCCAUGAAGUAAUUCUACUCAACUUUCUAACAGUAUGCGAUUUUUCCCAAGGCUCACUCCUAGUUUUAAAGCAAACCCAGCUAACUUCAAAGAAAAUGCAAUCGGAAAACAAAUAUGGUAAUAAAAAUUUUUCAGACAAUCACUGUGGUAGGAUGAAAGGAUCACUCAACAGAAAAUCAUGAUGCAAAAUAAUUCUCCUUGGAGUGUUUCAGAAGAUAGAGUAAAACUAACAUAUUCCAAAAGACCACUAAUUUUAGGCCUGUUAGCAUAUCAUUCUACAGUUUAAACUUAGAGAUAGUGAAAAAAUCUGACCUCCGUCCAAUGAAAGCACCUUAAGAGAAAAAAACAAUUAAAUUUUUCAUCAUGUAAACCAAAUCCCAUUCUUACGUCACACCAAAUACAGAAGAUUAUUCAGCAAUGUGUAUUUAAUUUAUGCUUCAAAACAACAACAAUUUAGAAAUAAGUAGAAAUUCUCAAAAUUUUGAUUUUUUAUGAAUUAGCUCUAACUCUUACAGUUUGCAGACAAUGACAAUUGACAAAAACAGUCAUACUACACUCACUCAUCAUUUCCCUUUACUCUUUUUCCCGCAUCAACACCAUGACCAUCAUCCACCUCAUCAUCACUAACAUCAUCAGCAUCACUAGCAGCAUCAUCAUUAGAAUUAGAGGGAGGAGAAGGGUCAAGCCUAGCAGCAUCAAUAGCCCACUUAAUUACCUUCUCCACUUCAUCUUCUUCUCCAGCACCAUCAUCAUCCAUCAACUGCUGCUGCUGCUGCACUUGACCAUCUCUAACAGAAGUAUUAUACGAAGGAAGAGAACUCUUGAGAGCAGCAAAUCUUGCAAAAAGAUCAUCACUUUCAUCGAUAUUUUGCAAAACCUUUUCUGGGUUUUUCUGGGUUGUGCCUGCUGUAUCAUCAAGCUUUGAUUUUGAUAUUGAUUUUGAAUUUGAUUUUGAUUGAUGGGGUUUUUUCAGGGCUAGAAAGCGUGAAUCAAGAUCAGGGUCAAUGCUAGAAAAUUGAGAGGAAGAGUGGGUCAUGUGGGAAUUGAGGCGAGUUUAAGAAGCAUAUCAUCUUGUGCAGCUUUCAGCAAUUCCUCCACUUCAUCUUCUUCAACUGACUUCUCCAUCUUCUUUCUGCCGUCGUAAUUACUACUACUCAUUCUAUUGGAUUGGAAUUUUUGGGCUCUUUCUCUCCGAUAUUACUAAUUCUUGCUUUUGAAAUUUUGUUGGAGUGCAAUUUGGGAAAAAUAUGCAGAGACUUAAUUGCAAUUUGCCCUCUAAUUAGGAAUUAGUUUCACUUUUGCACGCUAUAUAAGUUUUAUAUACACUUUGCCCCCCAAGGUUUAAAAGUCUAGUGUUACUUCAUUCAUGCGCAAGAGUGUAAUACUAUAGAUAUCCUUGACUAUUUUUUCCCUAGAGUGAAGGGCCAAAAUUAUCACUCAACUAUUAAAAAUGGGACAGUUUGAUCAUAACUUUUUUUGUGACAAAAAAGGUCGUUAAAUUGGAAAAUGUGCGCAUUCGAGUUAUUUUGUCAAUUUCUACUAGUAAACCAUUCGGUUACAUGGGUCCUGUGUUGGACGAAUAUUCUCGCAUGGACAAGAAUGCCCAAAAGGGUAUUGAACAAGCGAACCCCACAGAUUGAAACAUCCCGAAAGUUGACCAAGUGAAAAACUCCUUAUCUUGUUCGGUAAAUUAGGGAGAUAGGUGGCAUACAAUGAGUUUUGCAGCCUAAUCAUUUCACCAACUUCAUAAUCGAGGAAAUUGUGAAGUUUGUGAUUUUAAUGGAUUGGGUGAAGCAACCAAGGGAUGAGUAUACUGAUCUGUACACGAUUUAGGAUAUGUUUCAGUAAAUUAUCUUUCAAUUAAGAAGUGCUUGUUAAGAAAUAGUUAAAACUCUCAAAGUAUUAACCCAAAAUGGAAAGAUGUUAGAAAAAAAGUUAAGGGUGUAGGGACUAUGAUGUUAGGGUUUAAUGGGUUUUUUAUGCUACACAUGGGACUUGAAAAGGACAUGAGUGUAUGAACCUCAUUUUUGUCAUUAUAGUAGCUACAAGGAGUUCUAUACUAACAUAUGUUUGUACUAAAUUAAUUAGGCAUAAUCUUGGAACUUUUCUUGCAUACGUUGACUAAUGGGAUAUCACAUUGAGAUUUGUGUGCUAAAGAAAUGAACCUAUAAUUUAGAUUAAAAAAUUAUUAUCAGACAAUAGUUUUAUUAUUAAAAGAUUGAAUUUUUAUAAUUUGUUUUGCCAUUAGACGUGUCUGCGUGUUGGUUUUUAUGUGUAAAAAAAACCUUGCACUUAAGCUUAAAAUAUUAAUUAAUUACCAACUACAUACCACUAUUUGUUUGUUAGUACAAAACAUGGAUGCUCAUUAAAAUAUAAAUCAAUUACCCUAUUGAAGUCAAACUGUAUGGGCUAACAUGCGUACUUGGCAAUUGUGUUGCUAACUUGCGUAGAGUAAACUUCCGCCAUUGUUGCACAUUGGCAGCUCUGCAUUCUUGUUUCUAUAUAUAUUAUGAUUCAACUUCACAUUCGCAUACAUUUCAUCCUAUUGGUUUUUUGCAUUUUUUUAGAGUUUUGUUAGCCAACUGUCUUCUUCUCUCUUGCUUAAAGUCGCCAUAAGUAAGGUUCUAAAGUCCCAAUUCAUGGAGUGGCUGACACGUCAAGCCAUUCAUGCUUCAAUUUUGGGACUUGAUGUUAGCCAAAUUCAACCUGGGAAGCUGGAGCAAGCUAUUGGACAAGUGAAUCCAAGCAUUAUUCACCAGAGAUGGGUGGUAAGUCUUGGGCACAAGUAGUAGUGGAGCUCAACCAGCUCAUGGGGAUUGAAUCUUAAAUUUAUUCCACCGGAAGAUCAAUGCCCAAUCCAAGUUGAUGGAGGAUGUAUCUCAAGGAUUGGAGAAAUAGCAGCAUGCGGUAGUAGGCUUUGCUUUGGGAUUCAAUCCUCCAUUUAGCGUUGUCCAGAAAUUUGUCGAAAAUAGAUGGGCUGAAAUGGGGAAGGUUGAGGUGAUAUCCUUGAAGAAUGGCAUUUUUAUAUUCAACUUUUCCUCUGCUGAGAGUCAGACAUGUGUAUUGGAGCAAUCUCCAUGGCCAAUUGCAAGUAAAAUGUCAUUUUUGGAGCCUUGGAGCCCAGAAUUGGAUAUGAGGAAGGAAUAGCUUGAUGCUGUCCCAAUUUGGAUUCAAUGAGCUCAUCUACGAUUGCAUUAUUAUAAUGAGGCCUCCUUGAGCAAAUUUGCUAGUUACAAUGGCAGACCUCUGUAUACAGAUAAAUAGACUGCUAAUCAAUCUGGAGUAGCUUAUGCAAGGUAUCUGUGGAGCUAAAAUAGGAGCAGUUAGACCAACAAAGAUUCCUUAUGUGAAUGAAACUAGGAAGCUGGAAUAUUAGGAUGUAGAAUAAGAGUGGAUACCACCUAGUUACACAAAAUGCAAAAAGUUUGGACAUCAGACUCAGGAUUGUCCUAUACAUAUGCUGACAAAGUGGAUACCACUAUCAAGAGUGCAAAGGGAUGAACCUAUGCAGAUCUCUGUUCCAAUUGUGGAUAAGGAAGAGGUGGAAGGUGAUGGGAGAGUAGCAGAAUCAAAUGAGGGAAAAGUAGAGUCGGUUAUUGCAGAAAAGAAAACAUCAAACAAAGGUGAAGUGGUUAAUAGAAGAGCCAGUAGUGUAAACAAACGAUUUCCAAGGGCAAGGAGAAAAUUGAAAUUGAGACACAGAACAUCCAAAAUAGUUACAGCUUACUGGAAGGAGUGGAAGAAUGUCCAGCAGUGGAGAUGAAAGUAGAAAAACUUGGUAGAGGUGCUCAGAAGAAGGUUUGCACUAAACUUUUCUCCCCUACUAUAACAUGAGAUUAUUGUGUUGCAAUGUGAAGGGGCUAAUUGACCCCUUAAAACAAAACUUGAAAAAAUAGUAUACAACCAGUUAUAGUUGGAAUAGUAGAGAAUAAAAUCAAAGAUGUAAAUAUUAACUAUGUCUUUGCACAUUGUUUGCUGUAAUGGAAACACUAUACCAGGAAAUGCCAGUUGUAUUUGGGUAUGCUGGAACGAAUCUGUUAUGAAAUGUGGUCUACUGUCAAGUCACCAGUAGGCUAUAUUAUGUAUUGUGGAUAGCCUUGAAACUCAGCCGUUUGUGGUCACUGCAGUAUAUAGGAAAAAUAAGACAAAGGAAAGAAAGCUCUAUGGCAAAUAAAGCCUCUCAUUGGGGAUAUGCCAUGGUUGAUACUUGGGGAUUUUAAUGCCAUCAGGAAUCAUACAGAAAAGGCUUGGCAGUGAGGAGUUUGAAUAUAAUGCCAUGGAGGAUUUUAAUGUGUUUGCAAAUUAUAGAUGUGGAGGAACAUCCUAGCAGGGGUUUCCUCUACACCUGGUGCAAUAAUAAGGAAGCAUCAGAUAAAAAUAUAGAAUAAUAGAUCAAAUAUUUGCCAAUGAAGCCUGGUAUACUCAGUUUCCUCAUGUUGAAGUGGAAAUGUUGGGACUGGUAUGUCAGAUCACUCUCCCAUCCAAGUGAUAUACAUAGUAGUCAAAGAUUUGGGCCGAAAACUUUCAAAUUCCAAAAAUUUUGGAUGAAACAUAGGAAGUUGAAAUCUACAUUGCUAAGAUCUGGACUAAAACUAUCAGGAGUAAUCCUAUAGUUGCUAUUUGUCAAAAGUUCAAGAGAUUAAACGGGGAAUUGAAACAGUUAAACAAAAUACAUUAUGGCAGAGUUCGUGUGCUGCAGAAGAAAGAACAAAUGCUGGCUACUCAAGCUUUGCUGUAAGAAAAGCCCUUUAAUGAUGAAUCAUAACUCAGGAAAGAUCAUUGAUGGAUGAAUAUUAUGCAUUAUCUCAUGCUGGGGAGGCUUUUUACAAAGCGAAAUCUCGAGUUUUGUGGCAAAAAGAAGGAGAUAAAAACAUUGCUUUUUUUCAUAGAAAGAUGACAACACACAUUGUUCGGAAUAAAAUAUUGAGAGUGUUUGGAUAUGUAAUAUUUGGAUUUUUCCAAAUAAUAUGUGACAAAGGUGUUUGGAUAACAAGACAAAUAACCCAAAUAAGGUUCAAUAUAUAUCUCCCAACAAAUCUCCACAUGGAAUACGUAAUGAAAACCGAUAACAAGAGAUGUUUCAAUAGUUUCCCACGUGGAAAUGACUCCACAAACCCAUUCCUAAGUGUCAUGACCGUUAAAAGCAAAACUCAUAUCAAUUGUUGGCAUGAGACUACACUAAGGGUCUUUUUGGUUGGGUGUAAAAUAUUUUCCCUUGGAAAAUGUUUUCAGUGAAAGUCAUUUUCCAGGAAAAUGAUUUCAUUUUUAUAAUUUCCUGUGUUUGGUUAACCUACUGAAAAUAUUUUCUAAACCCAUUUUCUAGUGUUUGAUUUAAAUGUUCAAGAUACUUUCCUACAGAGCUUAUGGUAAUUGCAAAUACUUCCCAUUUGAUUAUAAUUUUACUUCACUCUUUACCUUUAGAAUUUAUGGUAAUUACAAAUAUUUCUCAUUUGAUUAUAAUUUUACUUCAUUCUUAGCCUUAAAAAAUUAGAAUAUCUGACUUUUUCACAUACUUCCAUUCAUGUUGUACUUUUUCACCAAACUGAUAUUUCAAAUAUGCUACAAAGAAUCAAGUGUUUGCUUUUGCAAACUUAAAAAUGUAUGUAUAGAUUAAGUUAUUUGACAUACUAUUUAGUCACAACACAAUUAAAACUCUUCCAGAAUUGUUGCAUAUAGAAAACUGAGUACUCAUUAUGUAUCCUGUCUUUUUAGUUUUGUCAUUUCACUAAAAAUUUUGCUAGUUGCUCAUGUUCAAAUAUAUGACUAAGACAGUGUGACAAUUAUAGUAACAACAAUAUUGAAACUAAUAGUGUAUGCUCCAGAGUUAUGCACCAUAGUUAUGCUGGCAGACCAGAAGCAGAAGUCCAGAACACCAAUCAAGACAAAUCUAAAUUUAAACAAAACACAAUCACCACUCAUACUCCGAGUAAGUAGUGGCAUUCCCUAGUCCUAGAAAUUACAAGUCAGAUUUUUUUAUUGAUGAAACUAAACUACAUUCACAAAAGGCUUAUAGAUCACCUUGAUAUGACAACAAUGUGUUUUGCAAGAUAUGAAAACAUUCGAGCCAAUCUGUAAAUUACAAGUGACUCAAAAAAAAAAAAAACUUAGCAAGUGACCCCAGACAAGAUAAGACAAGAAAACCAUUACAUCUAAUCGAUAACAACUCAAUUACCAUAUAUUUCUCCUUCAUGUCUACCGACAAACAUCUGGAAGAAUAACUCAAUCAAUAUACUUUUCAAGCCUAUAUUUAUGUUGCUCAAGCAUAAUUGAUACCAUUUGCUUUCUUCAAAGUUGGUUGUUGCAGCUAGGUCAUGUUAACCACAAUAUCUAGCUCUCACCAUUAUCAACCAAAUUUAUGUCCUUUACUCCAAAGUUGUCACAAGUGAUAUUACCAGAUACAACUAGAAUCAUUUGUGCAACAAAGAUGUGUAGAUCUCUUAUCACAUUUCUCUUUCAGGGCCUUGAACAAGUCCUUUGCUAUGAUCUAAAAAGAACAGAGAAAACCAAAAAAAGUUUCCAAAAUUAGUUGACAACAUCUAAAUCAAUACCCUAAACUUAAAUAUAAAUUUAAAAUACGAGAAUGAAAGUAUCCUUUGCAACUUAUACAGCAGUAUCAUACAUCUUCCAUGCUAACCACUCAAGUAUUAAUUAGAAAGGAUAUUUGGCAGUAAUAGAUGUACCAAUUGAAUACAAACAACACAAACUGCGAGUUGCUAAAAUAAGAUGUAUUUAUGUGUUCAAUAAAGCAAUUUGAACAAGAGAGUUUAAAGUCUAUAUUGACCCUUAACCCAACUCUCAGUAAUACUAUUGCAAUUGGAAAAGGAACGUUUGCUGCAUUAUGGAAAAAAUAACUAGAAAGCAAAGUUCAUUAGCACAUAAACUAAUAUACUAAUAGUUUAGACACUAAAGAUUGCUUCUCAUCUACCCUCAAAAGAUUAAAAAAAAAAAGAUAGCUUCUCAUCACCUAAUCUUUCAAUGAAAUAAUAAAAUCAAUACAUGUAGCACUUGUCACUAUCUUACAAGUGAAAUCAUAUCUCAAUUCUCAAGAAUGGAUACCACAAAAUGAGGCAACAGGUUAUAAGAUGGCUUUCCAAUCAAUGGCAUAACUACUACCAGUAUGAAAAAGGGGAACAGAGCAAAGUUUUGCCAAAUAUUCAGAAUACCAAGAGCUUCCGUGGAUUAAAAAAAAGUUUAAAGAUUUUUCAAAGCAAAAUCUCAAAUCCUUAAGAAAAAUUAGUAACGUAAUUCAGAAAUUGUAGCAGCACAACAAAAAGUCGAUAAAUCCCUAAAUUGGAAAACCAAAAUGAAAACCUGUAGACUUGCAUAACGCUGGAGUCUUACCUGAGUCACGUAGCUGUUGCCGUCACCAGAGAUGGAGGUAUUCGUUGGUGAUCUCCCUUCUUUCCACUGUCAAUGUCCUUGAUCGAAAUACAAAAGACAGAGUUGCGUAGUGCCCUUUAGAGGGGGAAAAAGACCCGAGAAUUUUACAUCAUUCGAAUUUGACCUUGGAUCAGUCCCUUCGCCGGAGAUGGAGGUUGUUGUUGGUGACCUCUCUGUCUCUUCCGAUGUAUGUCUCCUUGAUCAAAAAGAGCCCACUCAGAGACACUCAAUUAAAAGAAAAUAACUUCAGUAACUCGCGAGGGUAAGUUGUUUUUCGCCUUUUUGAAGGAAAAUUUUUUCCCCUGCAAAUAUUUUCCCUACUUAAUUAAGAGCCAAACAACAGAAAAUGUAGAAAAUAUUUUUCGGAAAACAUUUUACAUCAAACAAACACACCCUAAGUACAGUAAGUUUUUUGUACCGUUGCUUCCUAUUGUUGGAGCAACUCAAUAAAGGAAAGCUAAAACUGCUCCUACUUGUCCUCUUUAGAGAAUUUAUUCGCAUGCAGUAUCCUCUUACACUUUCAUAACUUUGUCUUCUCCAAUCAACAACUGCAAAAGCUAUUUUGGGCUUUCAACCUCAGGCUAUUGCUAGCAAAAUCUACCAAAGGAUUCGAUUUCUCUGCUAAUGAUCUGAAAGGGAAUUGAUUCCCUGUGUACGCAUAAAGGGUGGAAACGUAUUAUAAAAGUCUGGCCUUGGGUUUAGAUGUGCAAAAAGACCAAGAACUGCUGGACAAGGAGAGUGAUGGAUUGGGAUUGAAAUACCGGUCAUUGGGUGUGGCCGGUCUCUAACCUCUGUCCCACGGUAAGGAAAUGAGCUACUGAACGAAAUUUUCCUCAAUUCACUUGCCCUAACCCUGCCUGUUAUGUGUACAUCGGUUAGUAAUUUCUAUUUCUGAAGUUUUAUUACCCUUACUAUUUCCUCAAUUUGAUUGCAAUUGUUGUAUGUAAAAGAAAAUCAAUUGAAUAGGAAGCUUGUUUGUAUAACUCCAAACACAUGAAAUUAGGAACUUGGAUGUUCUUAGGGUUUUUUGGAUUUCUACAUUCAUGCAUUUAUUUUUGAAUUAAGUAUAAGCAAUUGAUAUUCAUGGUCAAUAUGAUAAUCUCGCUUCUCUUCAGUUUCUUAUUCAUUGUCCCCUUCCAAUAUGCUUUAAUAAUUGGACAUAAUUUUUUCGUUAAGCAUGCUGACUUUUGAAGACAAUUUGCCUCUGAAUUAUAUACAAUUGACAUAAAACUAUGUGAAAUAGGAACAAUCAAUUGGUUCUGAUACAGAGGGUGGUAUGAAAAAACACCUAUAAACCCAAUCAAAGAGUUGAGACUGGACUUUAAACCUACUACUUAGCGAUGCAAAUUUUUAGCUUUGCAGUCGAUAACGCUUCAUCUAAAGAACAUACAUAUGUAAAAUCAGAGGCAGAGACAUAUAGGUUGACAAAUUUUAUUGGUGUCCUGUUUGGUUUCCUGUGUUGUGAAAAAGUGAUGUUGCUAGACAACCACUUUGCUAAUUGAUUUAGUUUGCUUUUUUAGAUUGCAAACUUUUGUAAAUUUACUUGUGUCUGGAUAGAGAGACCAAGAAGUAUUUCCUGUAUUUGUCAUCCCUGACAUUUUAUGGUUUUGCUUUUAUGAAUUUCUUAUGGACAUCCUUCUCUCCUUGUUUUUAUCAUAUUUUCUGUGAACCCAAACUGUAAAGUUGUAUGCCCUGUCAAAUGAAAGUGUUCAUGCCCAAGAGAAAAAGAAGAAACCAAGUUCACCAACUGGUAAGACAUUCCACUAUUACAAUUCAUUCUAAUACAUCCUUUCUCCACAGAUACUCACAUAAUGAAGCUUUGGUUAUAAUUUCCAUUAUUGUUCAGAAUCCUCAUCUAGCCCUUAUUCUUUUGUUAGUGUCCAUUCUGCGUACGACUCAAACGACUUUGACGUCAGCCUAAUAAAUUACUUUGAGGUGGGAUAUUUUGUUGGCUAAAUCUACGAAUUUGGUGAUUGUGCAUACAACAUGUUACUAUUUUUUUAAGUACUUGUUUGUUUAUCCAUAGAUGUUUGAUAAAAAAAUAUUUGCUAGAUUAGGAGGAGGACCUCUAUGUUCGCACCUACAUAGAAUGGCAGAAAAAUGGAAAAUGGGAGCUGACCUAUAGCAUGUUGGCAAACUACACAGCAAUGACCAUUUACUUAACCUAAGAAUGUGGGGUCAAUUGUACAGGAAUUCAAUGCCAGUUCAAGUACUAUCGAAUGGUGGAUAAGUAGAGGUUGUUCACUCAUCUCCGGGGAGAUUCUGCCAAGCCAGAGACAGGGAUAGGGUGGGAUGCUAAGCAUAAAUGCUUUUUAAUAGGAGCAGAUCAAUGUGCAUAUUUGUACCAGGUAUAAAUAUUUUAUAUGCUAUAUAUUCUCCCCGUCUACUCAGCACCUAUAGUUACUAGGUGACUUAGCCGGCAUUCUGAUGUAGCUAAAUUUGCAUCCUUUUGUGGCUGAUAAUAUGCAAAACACGUGUUCAUUUCUAAAAAGGAAAUUUAGUUGCUGAUUUUUCCUUUAGCCAUUUAGUCAUAACAAAUGGUUGCUCCAAAUUAUAGAAAGUGUCUGAUUUUACUAGUUUUGUAGAUUUAUUUUCUUAUUAUAAUUUAAUUUUGAGGUCGUAUACCAUGUCAUGUCAUAGUACCAAUUAUUUUUACUUGUUUAUGGCUGUGUGUAUUUGCAAUCAAUUCUAACUUAUUGGCUUGGAAUGAUACUUUAUUUUAAUGGCAGUUGUAUGAUUUAAAAAAAAUUGUCCCUUUACUUGUGUUUAAUUCUACUUCACCAUAAUUUUUUAGCAUACAAUAAUUUUGGUUCAUAUAUUGCUGAAUGAUUUAAGUGGAGGUUGAUAAUUUUAUAUGUCAUAAAAAAUGACUAAAGGACUUGUCAUUCAUUUUUGUUAAUUUUGUGUGUCUAAAAGAGUGGAAGUUGUUGGAUGAUAUCAAAUUGUAUACUAACAUUACCAGUCACCUAUUGCAUGUUAUGGAAGUGCAACUAAUUUACAUUAAUCACAACUAUUGUUGAGGUUUGUGGUGUUUUUUUUUAAAAAAAAAUUACUACUGUUUUAAUUUGUCAACAGUUUCUUAUCUUUUUUUUCAAUUUAAUUUCCUGAGUGCUUAUCUUAUUUGUCUCACCUAUCCUAACGUUACAUAGACAUGUGAUUAACCUUAUGUACUAUAAUAUAGUUGCAAGCUGGUAAUCACAUUUAUGAGUAAAACUGGAAUGCGACUUGCUUUUCACUUGACAUUCUAAGCACCUUUAAAUAUUAAUUAUGAAUCUCACAACUUGUUAUUUGAACAAUAGCUAAACCGGCAAUAUCUAGAUUUUUAACAUCCAAAUAGUGCUGAUUUGUUGAUGAAGUGGGAUGAGGUGAUGAAUGGCAAACAUGCCAUUGGCAAUCGAGUUUAGUUUUCAACCCAAACCUCACCCCAAUACGAGCCUCCCCGAGUAUGGAGAUGUAAAGAAGAUUUUACUAGCAAAGGGAAAAGCGUGGUUUUAACCUCUAUUAUUGACCCUCCAAUCACUUUGUUUCAUCUAAUGGUGAUGGCAACCCUGUUUUAAGAAAUCUCAAUAAGUGACUAAUAUCCAGCACUGCCUACAGUUUUGAGAAGAAGGGAUCAAGAGAUUCGAAGUCCCGAAUGUCAGAUUCGAAUAACUACCAAAAGGCACUUAGCAAUUUCAACAAAUUCUCCUCCAUUGUUUCAAAUGAAAGAGAGGCAAAGGAGAAAUAUUCAAUAGAAGUAGUCAAAAAGGCUAUGGAAAGCUUAAAUUUAGAGAGGAGGCUACAAAUGUUUCUAUUAAAAGAGUUGUUAAAUGAAGAGUUCUAUUUUUUAUUCCUUAGCUUCAGUGACAGUAAGUAGAUGACAUGGUAGAGAUGUUCAUCAUUCCGAAAAUUGAGGGAAAGUGAGGAAAUUCAAAACUUUUAACUUGUACAAUUAGAUUGUUGGUUUGUUAUGAUCCAAGACUUUUAUAAUUGAUAUUUAUCGGUUUGUAUUCGUAAUGUAGUGGUUGUUCAUGGUAGCGGUCCACCAUAUUUGUUUCGGUUUGCCAUUUUCUUGUUAACAUGUAUUUCGACUACUGUUAUUUACCCAAUUGUUCAUUUUUAACUUAUUCAAGUUUAGUAGCAUGGUUUAAUCAUCUUAUGCUUUUCUAGCCAUGAGUCUUUAGACCGUACGAAUUGACAGUGAUGUACAUUUGCUAAUUUUAUAUAAUUUUGGUGUAACUUAGUUUAUUAUUUCACUACUUAUUCCUACUUAUAGUUUAGAUGUGUUGUCAAUAGAUUCAUAGCAGAUGUAAUUGCCAACUGUCCUCUCAUCUCAAAUCUCUUAUUUUGAGAUGUUUUUAUUCUUAUAUAACAUGUAUUUUAACUAUAGUAGACCAAACCUUGGAGUAUAAUGUGUUCAUUUGGCUGGCUCUACAAAAUUAAUUGCUUGUUGGGUAAUGGAAGCAAUUGCCAAGUGGGCCACUGCAUAGCCAUAGAUCCACGGUAGAAGUCUUACUUAAGAGGUAAACGGUAACAUUUCACCAAUUUGGUGUGAUAUUUUUAUUUUUCCUUCAUAGGAGUACAAUGAAUACUGAAUCUUCCACAUGUGAAUAAAUCCAAUGGGUACUUGUCCUUUUUAUAUAUAAAAAAUAGAGCCUUUUUUGUCAGUUAUAGCUGCACCCUUCCUUUAAAAUGUAGUAGAGUAAAGUCUUGUCAUGCAUUCACGUUCCACCAGACAUCCUACUGUCAUCCAUGCAUAACCACCCGAUAUUUGUUGCAUUUUAGGCUAAUUUAUUUGUUAGCUGCAUCCAAAUUUCUCCCAAUUUUUACAUGGCCAACUUCAUCCCAUGUUAACAAGAAAUACAUGUUAAAUAAUAGAAGCGAAACAUUGGGUAAAUAACAGUAGUCGAAAUACAUGUUACUAAACUUACUAAACGGUGCAGCUAACAUGUAUUGCUGCACCAUUGAGAAUUGAACCAUGCUAUUGCUGCACUAUUAAGAAUUAAACCAUUGAGAAUUUCUCAAUAUAGCUAGUUUAGUAGCAUGGUUUAAUUCUCAAUGGUGCAGUAUCACUUCUAGUGUAAAUAACAAUAGUCGAAAUACAUGUUACUAAACUUACUAAACAUUGGGUAAAUCAUCUUAUGCUUUUCUAGCAUGGCUCCAGCUUUCAAGAAGAUGACAAGGUAAUUCUCAAUGGUGCAGCAAUACUGCUUUUUACACUAGAAAUGAAACAUUAUUAUGAGACUUUUAUCAAAGUAUCUUGCCAAAACGGAGAUAUGCCUGAUUGGAAGUGGGUGCAGUAGCUAAUAACGGGUCACCCUCUACGUAUAUUGGAGAAUUAUAGAAUAACAAUUGAUAAUUUCAUGAGACUUUGUGAAAUUCUUGUGCAAAAUAACUACGUUUUGCAAAAUCCUCACAAGCGUGUAUCAAUCGAGAAGUCGCUGGCCACGACACUAGUUAUGUUGAGUCAUUAUAUGCACACUCAUGUUGUGAUUGAGAGAUUUCAACAUUCAACAAAACCAUCCACAGAAAUGUAGUGGAUGUAAUCUUGGAACUAUGUAGAUUUGCACAAAGGAUUAUUCGACCAAAACAAACAAAUAGAGUGCCUUCACGAAUAAGAUAUAGCACCAAAUAUUAUCAUUGGUUCAAGGUUAGAGAUGGCCAAACUGUAUCACAACACGUUUUAUAUGUAUUGGUUCUUGGGAUUCGAUUCCUUGUCGAAAUAUUUUUCUAAUGUCAACAUUUUUAAAAAUUAGAAAAUGACUUAGCCCCUUUAGUAAGGCAUAGAAAAUGCGUAAUCAGUAAAUCAUAAGAAUUUCAAUCGCUUGCUUAAAGCAAAAUAUGGUAGCAUACUACAUCUUGGAAGCUUUUCGAUUUUCUGGUAUUGACUAUCAAAUAUUGUAUAAAAUAUAGGAUGCCAUAGGUGUUUUGGAUGGCACUCGUAUCCCUGCUUCGAUUCCAACACAAAACAAAUGGCCUACACUAAUCGGUAUGGGACACAAUCGAAAAACGUUUUAAUUGUAUGUGAUCAUGAUAUGUGAUUCAUUUAUGUGUAUGCCGAAUGGAAAGAUGGCGCACACGAUGCAUGCGUAUUAGAAAGUGCACUAAGAAUACACACCGACUUCCCAGUUCCUUCCCCAGGUUCGAAUUCUACUCUUAUUUCAUGUACUAAAUAUCACCAAGUGACAUAUUUUUCUAUUUCAAACAGCAUAGAUUUAAAAAAAUAUAUCGUAUUUCAAUUUUUAUGCACGUAGGUAAGUACUACCUCGUCGACGUGGCUUAUAAGAUGGUGUCAAAAUUUUAACACCAUUCAAGGGAGGACGUAAUACAGGAGUUGGACAAGGACGUGGUGAGACCAAGGGUCGAAGGAGCUAUUCAAUACCCACCACUCUCGACUUCAUAAUAUAAUUGAACGCACUUUCAGUGUCUUGAAGCAACGAUUCGCCUAUUUGAAGGGUCCGGUUCCAUAUUCAUAUAUGCAAGAGCAGAUCAAUGUAGUGAUAGUGUGUUGUGCAUUGCACAAUUUUUUUAAGAAAAAUUAAUCUUCGGAUGAUCACUUCAUGGAGUAUGAACAAGAGGACAUACAAGUCGAAAGCAAAAAGAUGGAGUUGGUCCAUACCCACAGAUACAACCAUUGGUAGUGUCCCCACAGGAAAUAGAAGUUUGGAAGGCAAUGAUAGAAGAAAUUGCUAAUUAAAUGCAUGUCAUAUCACGAAGAUGGAGACAGUAGUUGAAUGACGUUAUUGCCAUUAUAUUACAAAUAAUGACGAAAGAAGUUUUGCAGCUUGUACAUAAAAAUCGAAAGAUACGGACGAUGAUAUCAGUGGAUGUCUACAAUUUCAUAAUAAACUCAUUAAUGCCGGGAUAGUGUACUACUAGAAACUUAUUAAUGCAGUGAAAUAGGAGAUGCGAUUUUCUUGUUAGCGCAACAAAUUUUGUACUGUCUAUUGCUUUAAUCCUGUAUUUCCUGUACGAUGCACUCUAUUUGAAGUUGUUGUUAUAUUGGUGGUAUAGCACCAAAUGUAAUAGAAGAAGUUUUUGGAGUGUUAUGUUGUUAUUUGCUACAUGAAGGCGGCAAAUUUCACUUCGCUACUAUGGUGGAUCAUAUACUCUACCCAUGCAAGUUUGCAUAUCAAGUAGAAUAGAUAAAAUAGAUCCUAACCAUUUAUAUUCAAUAUAACCAACGACAGUUGUAGCUGUGACAGCCCCACCUUCCCUAGGGCGUACCCCAAGGGUUAGCGAAUUGCCUGCCCAACUCUCGCCUACGAAGUCAAAUCACUCGAAAAUCCUACAUAACGCGCGAUAGAACCGCAAGAAAAAGAACAAUCGAAAACUAAUCUAAACACGAUUACCAAACCAUAUGGUACAAUAGGACUUCGAUUAAACGCUCCAACGAAGACCGAAAAGAACAAGUGCCACGUCAGAAUCCAGCCAAAAGUUGGCCGGAUAUUCGGCUGGAUUGGUGGCCGGAUUCAAGGCAGUGAGCAAAAAUGAAAAUUUCAACUUCUCCUGUCAAUCCGGCCAAGUAUUCGGCCAAGAAUUGGCUGGAUAUACGGCCGGAUUUCCUGCAUCAGCUUCCCGCCAAAUUUCAAUUUUUUUCUCGUUCAAGUUCCGCACCGCUCAAAUUCCCAACGAACACCAAAAGAGUUCACAUAACCAUAGAAAUAUACAAUCUCAAAUGAAUCCUAUUGAAACUCAUGAUUAAACACUUAGAUAUAUAUACAUCGGAAUCUUCAACAAAUGAAAUUGAAGUACAAGCCAUAAUAUCCAUACUUAUACAAAAUACAAUUAGGAUUUUGCCAGUACAGAGGAGCUUAAUCAAAAGAAGGUCUAUAAUUAGUUCUACUCUUUUCUUCAAAAAUCACGGUUUCAAAACAUUGAACCCUGUAAGGAAAACAAAGAUAACGGGGUGAGUUUACGCUCAAUGAGGUACCACAAGUACAAGUAGUCAAGAAUCAUGAAAUUUCACUUUUAAUCAAUCAAAUAUACACACCAAAUAAGGAAAUGAAUACACAUCUCAAAUAGCAAGGAUACAGAUGGCUCUCAAGUACCAAUUCCUCUUUUACAUCACUAGAGCUUGAUCAAGUAGUAGUUGACACUCUGUCAACUUUCAAGUAAGCAACCAGUUCAGUAGAGCACCACUUUACACCAAAUUUCGUCCACCAAAUAUACCCCUUACAGGGCCCGAAUGCCUCAACAGGAACAGAGAUGGUAAUACUCGAGUAUACCAGAAAUUCAGAGUCUCCAAUACUCAAAAAUUCCAAAGAAACAGGCCCCAUGGCUUGUUAAUUUUUUUCGACCAAGCCCCUUGCUAACUCGAUUCAAUUAACUACCAAUGGGGUUCAGCUCAGAUUUAACAGAAAGGUCGUUGGAUACAAGCCUCCAAACGACAUCAGAUCAUGCACAAGUAACAGAUUCAGAUGUAUACAGGAACCAGUCAAACAGGCGAGAGAGCGAGUGUGAUAAAGUAUACUCUCGUCUCAUUCAAAAUAAAUAGAGGUAACAAUUAUUCAAGUCACAGAUUACAGGUACAAGUAAAUCAAUUUAAGCAACAAGUCAUGUGAGUGGUACACUCACUAGUCAAGUAAAAGGACUUCAAAAGUUUCCACCCAAGAUAUGCCCUUGAUCACGCAACUACAAUCUUAAAACAAAAAUUUUCGUUGAAAUGAAAUUUCUAUUGGGAAGGAUGAAAGAAAGAAGAAAAAGAAAAAGAAAUAAAAGAAAGGAAAACAAUUUCAUCUUAUGAUAUUUUCUUGAGAAUAAAACGAAAAACUAGAAAGGAAAGAGAAAAAUCCAAAAUUAAAAGAAUUGAAAGGCUAAAAAAAUUGUAUUUUAAAAAAGUGAUUUGAAUAUUUUUUUAAUCAUUUAAGGAGAAGAUAGAUCUCUACAAUUCCUCUUUUUUAAUUUCAAACAUUAAGGUGAAGAUUUUGUGGGAAAGAGGACAAAUUAAAUAAAGAAGAAAGAGAAAAAGAAAUAAAAGAAAGGAAAACAAGGUAAAUGAAAAGUCAAAAUAAUGCAAGGGCAAUUUUGUCCUAAAGGGGGUUAAGUGAGCAAAAUUAAAGGUUAGGGGGUAAACUGAAAAAUGAGAUAUUCUUUAAGGGGAUAAAAUGUGAUUAACCCUUUUCUUGCUUUCUUUUCUUCGAGUCUCAUCUUUUACAAAUUUCGUGACCUUUUCAAAAAGUCACUUUUGGACAUCGCAAUUAAUGCGAUUAGCACCAAUCAAGCUUUGAAAAGACAUAUUGACCCUUUUUAUAGCCUUUAGGUCUAGGUUUGCAUUUCAUAUAGUAACGUUCAAAUGUGAUAAAUCUAGGUUAGGUGGAAAAGGUACUUUGAAUUUUAUUCUUGCAUUCCCUUUUUUCGAACGUGACUCCCGAAUACUUUUCUCUGAUUUUCGAAGACUUGGAGUCCUUUAAAAGGGGAUUUUUUUACUUUUUCUUUAAAAAAUUCAUUUUAGGUGACUUAGUACACCUUAACUCAAUACCAAGUGGCGACUCCUAUUUAAAAAAAAAAACCCUUUUUAAACUAUUAUUUUGAGCCAAAAUCGUCGCACUUUAAGUCCCAUUUAGGCCCAUUUCUCUUUCUUUAUUUUCUAAAAAUAAAAAAUCAUUUACAAUCAAAAUUAAAUCAAAAUUCAUUUUUAUAAACUCGUAAAUCUUAAUUUUAUUUUUUUGCAAAAAUGGGGUGCGACACAUACAUGUAUGAGUAGUAUGAUAACCUCCACAUAAGUCACAAAUCAUAUGAUUAGAAUUAAAAGCAUUAGCAUUCCUCCUUUGCUCAAGCAUAUUCAUAAUGGUGUCCAUUUGAAUUUUUAACGUUAUAACAUCAAGUUUAGCCUUUAACCUCCUGAAACCAUCUUCAAAUGACAUAUCUUCGGUAAUUUCAUGGUUACCUCUAUCUAUGGAGCUUUGCAUGUAGUAACCAUCCAUUGCCGAUCUUUCACUUUUCAUGCAUUGUUCUCCAUAUUAACCUACUUUCCUUAUCACCUAAAAUUACUUUUAAACAAUCUCAAAAGUAAGACUAGUCAAGAAGGAUAGCUUAAAAGACACAAACUAAAAUAGAAAACCAAAAAAAUGACUAAACAAAAUACUAAAAAUGACAUAAAACACAUAAGACACAGCAAAAACAACAAAAACAAGAAAAAUUGUCUAAAUUAAUAAAGUUGCUCUUAGCACUGAUAUUGACAAAUCUUCCCCGACAACGACGCUAAAAACUUGGUGCGCGCAGGGUAUAUAUAUACAAUUAACUCAUCCACAAUCAAGUUUUACAUUUAUAAAUCCUAAAUACCCCACACGCGAUUUUUCGCAAGUAUACGAAUCGAGAGCGAGUAUAGGGUAUUAAGAGUCGGACCCACAAGGAAGAUUUUCAAUUACCGAUCCUUUUCGAAUUCCUUUAUUAUUUAGACUAUAAGCAUGAAGUAAAAGUGAUAAAAUUAACACUAGAAAUCUCCUAAAGAUAUGAAAUUCCUUACUACACUUGCAAAUGAGAUUACCGGUUAAGUGAAUGCUAUUAUCUUGGCUAGUUAUGGCGUAAUUUUCUAAUAUAUGUGAAACCUACUCUCGUAGUGAAUUAACUAUACUUGUAACUAAACUAUACUUACUCUCGUGGUUAUGAAUCAACUACAAACUCAUUUUUUCAACGAAAUUAUAUAAAACAAGUCACUAAGCCACAUAUGUGCACCUCUACUCUCGUGAGUGUACUCCCUAAAUUUAUCGUUUCCUUGAACUAGUGCUUUUGUAAACUUAAUACCUUAAGAUAAUCACAAUUAAUGAUCGGUUAAUCAUGAUUAGAAAAGCAAAAGUGAUAAAUAACUUGCUCAAAAAGUAAACUUCACUAACAAGCUAUAGCAAGUUCAUCCAUAACUUUUGGCAUAAACUUUAACUAAAUAUGAAAAUAAGAUCCAAACUUGUAUUAUAGUUAAACAUGAAUUUAAAUACAAAAGAGAAAGUGAUUAGGAGAGAAGUCACCCUUGUCACAUGAGCUUCAACUCUCCAUCUUUGCUCCUCCAAUCUUCAUCCAAAUCUAACUACAAAUAUAAGAUGGAUAAACUACACUACCUAUACUAUACUAUUCUAACUAAUGAACUAAGGAAACUCUAGUGAAAACUAUAUUUUGGUGGAGUUUCUCUAGCCUUCCAAAGUUGUUCAAAUGUCCUCCAAAGGCUGCUAUUUAUAGAAGAUUCAAGAGCCAAAUGAGUUGUUUCCAGUUGUCAUUUUUGACUCUUGAAACUCUCAUGAGUUGUCUUUCCAACUUUCCAACCUUUUCUUGAUCAGAUAUAGCUGGAAUUGAUAGCUAGAAUUGAGCUAGAAAAGUUGUGUGAAAGAUGAGCAAGUUGCAGAAAACAGAAGAGAAUACACGACUUUGGAAUACGCGACUUCAAGCCACGUAUUCAUGAAGUUGCGUUUUCACUUCUGUGAAUUUGGUACCAUUUCAACUGUUAUUUUCUUGAGAAUGGAGGCAGAACUAACUCUUGUGAAAAAUAUGAAAGUUGUAGCUCUUUGAGUUAGCUUUCCAAUGACUCAAGAACCAUCCCAUUUGGAGCUCUGUGGAAUGAGAAAUGACCAAAAUACUCUCAACUAAUCAGAGCUCUGUUUCAGCUUUCGACAACAGAGUUGCACUUCUGUAUUUUGACUUUUUGACAAGGAAAACGACUGAACUGGACUUCAAUGUCUUCAUAACAAAUGUAGAUCUAUAUUUUAGCUUCAAAAUGUAUAAGAAUCACCUCAAUCCAAUGCCUGUAACUCAAGAUAUUACCGAAAUAUCACAAGGUGUAAAAGCUGUGAAACUUGCUUCCUUUCGUUCUUGAUUGCAUUUCCUCUUUUGCACUUCAUAUUCUCUUUUUAUCGCUUCAAACCAUCUUUAAUCAUCCAAUUAUCUUCUCAAUUCAUGCCAUGUGAUGAUUGAAUCAUCAAACCUACAAAAAACAUGAAGCUUUCACCAUUAAAAUCUAUAGAAAUGCAAUUUUUACACUUUAAAUCAUAAAAUGCAUAUUUUCACUAUAAACCUAGUUCAUUAGCCUUUUUUUUGUUACAAAGAAUAAAAAAGUUUACCAAUAGAUGAAUCUUGUUUGCUAGAAAGUGUUUAGCUCAUCAAGUUUGUCACAAAAACUAAGGGUUCUCAUGGAUAAGGUGUUUUAUGGGGCAUUUUUUUUUAAAAUCACACCGCAGCACACCAGUCGAAUGCAUAAUUAGGAAGUAGGUCAUAUAGAAAGUAAAACAGCGAGGCAAUCUUUAGCCUACCAUCCUUGAAACAACUAUCGUUUGAGAAGAAUCCCAAUAGCUCUUCCACCAAGUCCUUUUGCCGAAGGGUUCAAUUUCGAUCAACCAAAGUAACCGGUAAACCAUGCACAUGAACGUUACAUAAUACCUCCACAUCCCAUGAGCUGACAUUGUUACCCGGGGGAAAAAAAAUAGCCCUUUGCAUUGUAAUCCAUUAGAUGCAAUAAUAAUAAUGAUGAUGAUUAGCUAGAAAACUAAAUAAAACAUACCAAAACUAAUUAAUAAAACACACUAAAAACACGUAAAAUAUACUCUUUUCAGUCAUCAUUCAUAUCUAAGUACUCAUCUCUUCCAAGUAUUUUGCACCUCGUGUGUAGUAGUAGAUUAACAUUUUUAGGCAUUUCAUGCAAUGCCUUCUCAGCAACAUCAUUUAAUAAAUCAAUGUACAAGUAACUCUAGAGAUUUACAUUGGGCACUCUUACUUUUCUUCCCAUAAAAUAGAGCAUAAUAUCAUGAAUAUCAGUGUUAACCAUCCUACAAUAUUAGUUACUGAAGUUACAGAGCAUACAUCAGCUUUCUAAGCACAGAGAUUUGGCAUCUUACUACAUGAAACAACCAAAGUCAUACGAGAAACAUAGAAUCAAGUAAGCAUAUUCUGGUAAAGGCUACUCAAAGCAACUCAUAUAACAAACCAAAAAAUCAUAUUAAACAUGUAUCAAGCUUACACAAACAACAACCUGAUCAACAUAGGCUGCCAAGGAAUAUUGAAACAUUCCAAAAUUCUUAAACAUUAACUUGGUACAGCCUUAACGAGCUAAGAAACUCUUCAUCGAAGGUGAGAAUCAAGAGCUUUGUUAUGCCAUGUAUCAAGCUAACUUGUGCAGGUAUAUCAACAAUGGCUGGAAGAGUCCAUCUGAAGUGACUAUAUGUACCUGCAGCUUUCUAUAUGUACCAACUGGCGCCUAAAUUUGGCACCAUUUUGCUGAAGGCUUUUUAUAUAUUCAUUAAAGGAAUUUAAAUUAUUGGUAAUUACAUUAACUGUGUUUAUAACUAACUUAACAAAAUUUGUCCAAAUAAACAUAAAAUAUCUGCUAACUUGUGUAGAUAUUUAGUCUUUUCGGUCCAUGAUGAUGUAAGCAAUGGGACUCAAAAUUCUGUCAGAGAAGGUCUAUGAUAUUUUGGAAACCUCAGGAGAGGGGAGUAAGAUUGUCAGAAAUCUCAGGGGUAUCUGAAAUUUUCCCUUUUUUCAACUGAAACUUCGGGUGUUAAGAAUAACAUUUGAAAGCUAGUUUUACUGAAUUCCUUACUUUAAUGAAUUCCAUCUCACCUAUUACUCAAAAAUCAUUUCAAGAAAAUUUUCUCUACUCUUGUAUCAUUCUUUGAAAAUACUAGCCGCUCAAUCAUGCAUUCAAGCCAAUCGCAUACAAUAAGAAACGAAAAAAGUCAACAAAAAAAAAGAGAUUUGCAAGCUAGCUCCUUUUGAUCACUGUCAUGUUCUUUGGAGGAGGAUUGUCAACUCGAGAAGACUAAUAAAUUUUAUCUUAAGGUCACAUUCUAAGCUAUGAGCUCAUUAUUCCUUCUAAUAUAUAAGAAAAAAGUUUGUCACUUAAAAGUAUGCGAAUUUUAUUACAACUUGGAGGAAUUGAAUGAUGAGUUUUACAAAUCUGAAGUGAAUGGUUAUAAAAAUUUAAGUUUUGGUGGUUGUUGGCUACCAUCAAAGACUUUAAAUUUUAGUGGAGUGAAAAAUCAAGGGUUCAAAACUUACCUUUCAUUAAUGUGCCACUAUAUGUGGCUUCUUUUAAGUCCAUGUGGGUGCGUAGUGCACCCGUUUGAUCCGAUGAUAAUUUAGUCCUCGUCGAUUUUUCUAGACCCGUUGGGCCUCUCCCCCUAGUGUAGGCUAGAGGAGUAGAUUAGGCUACCUGUUGCGGUCUAAUAAAACAAUGGUUAUAAAAAUUUACUUCCGGUGCCUCUACCUUGAAUGUUAUAUUUGAAGCGUAUGAUGGCCAUAUAAAAUUUUGGUGCAAAAAGCAUUUGGUUUCGCAUAAUAAUUUUAAUCUGAAGGAUGCAUAUAAUCAAAUGAAACUUUCUGGUAUGCCCAAGUCUAAGAAACCUGAUUUGAAUGAUUUAAGUGAUGAUCAUCAUGUUAUUUGCCGUGGUAUCAUUUUUGAAAUUUUGCUACCUAGGAAGAUGAAGGAAACAAAUCAACAAGGCAAUAAAAUAAUUUUAAAAAUUUAUUUUCAUCCUAUGAAUCUUUUUGUAAAUUUUAUGGAUAAAUCAAGUGGGUUCAUGAAGAAUAUCUCAAAGAUGCUAGUUUUUUCACCACUUUUAAAAGGCUAUAGGAUGCGUACCACCAAACUAGUGAUAGUCCACACAAAUAAUACCUCAAGGAAUCGUUUAAGAAUAGAUUGAACUAAGCAAGAUAAGUGCUAACUCUUUACCCAAAUCAUUUUUAAGGAUGAGAGAGCAAGAAAAAAAAAACUUUCCUUUUCUUCGUUGGUAUUCAACAAAGAGGAGGGAGACAAAGCCUUCCACUUCAAAUUAGAAUGGCUUGUUUGGUCUUCAAUGAAGUAUUUAUAAGCAUAACCCAACCCAAAAAAAGUUUAAAUAUUUGCACCAUACCUCUUGAGUUAAUUAACGUUUAUAAACUAACUUAUAAGUGUCUCAUACUUAUCUUAUUCAGUCUUCACUUAAUAUCUUUUUAAUUUGUUGAGUUUGUUGUCGUUUAUGUGUAUGACCCAUUAGGUUUUCAUAUCAUAUUGGUAAUAAAUAUGUAUUACAAUCAUUUGAAAAGAAGUAGAUAAAUUAAACUCCUUUGAUUUAUUGUUCAUUUGACUAAUUAAUCAAUUCAUAUUUAUAGAUCAAUAUAGACAUUUAACAAUGCAUCAUGAUCACCCAAGUAAUGAGAAAGUUAAGUGAUUUGAUUUUACCUUUCUACGAAUGAUUGCUAUAUAAUUAUCAUCUCUUCACCUUAACUAUAUCCUGAUUAGUAUAGAAGUACGGAAUCUAUACUGACUUCCAUAAAGGUUAAUUACUUUUUCAUUCUCAAAAUAUAAUUAUCUUGAAAUUGAAAUUGGACACGCUUCAAAUUUCAAUUUCAAGAUAAUGGUUGCGAGAUUGUAAAGAGGAAGUUAGGUGAUUCUCUUUGGAAAGCUGCAAAUUUUGGUGACUUGAAACCAAUUGGAAAAUUGUCGAAGUUCGUACUUGCCACAGUGGUCUUGAUGCAAUUCCAGAAUGCAUGAAUGUUUGGAAGAGAAUGUUCCAUGUGAACUUCAAUAAAUUACAGUGGUCUUUGUUUGCAGCUUAAGCUUGUGAAGUGAAUUUGCCAAUUUGGUAAUGUCUUGGGAUAAGUUGCUGCCUACAGCCUACUCACGUCGGGUAUUUGAUUUGGAAGCAUUUGUAUUUGGCAAUUAAUGACCUUCUCUAACUAAGUACUAAUUAUUUCCAAUGUUUUAAAACUAGGACUGUUAAUUGAAGCAGUGAGAUAUUUGGAUCACAAUUCAACUGAUUGGAUUGGUUCAACUCUGGUUCAAUGAAUUUUUUAAAAAUAAUUUAUAUAAAUAUAUGUGCACAAAAUAAGACAACCAAUGGAUUAAUUUAAGACUUUAUAUAAUGAAAGGUUAAAUAUUUUCAAAGAACUUGGAUUUUCACAAAUAUGUUUUUAAUUAAGUUCAAAUAAAUAAAUUUCAUCUCAAUAUCAAUUGGAUCUACCAAAAAUAUAAUGUUAAAUCCAACCCCAAAAAUACCACAAUAUUUUGAAAUUAUACAAAAUUCAUGUUUUUUAGAAUUAGACAUUGUGAGUUUAAAUUUAAAUCACAUUUUUGAGAAUUAGAGAUUGGAACUUUAAAAAAAAAAAAAGAAGAUUAGAGUUUGGAGGAAGUUAGGAAAAUAGAAAAUAAGAUGCAAACUUAAUAAGAGGCAGAAAAUGAAUAGGUGUGUGGCAUUUAAUGAUUAGUUCGUAGGGUUGAUAAAACUUGGGUAGACCCGGUCUAUAUAGAUUUUGUAGUUCAAAAUUUGUCACACCAUCUCACCAAUUCAAGUAUUGAAGAUGUUGUAAAAUUUGGACCACCAAUUCUACUCAAGUUUUUGCCUUUAGUGUUAAGGAAAACCCAUUCUUUUUAUUUUUUAAAUUUCAGUUUAAUAGAUAAAACAAAAAAUUGACGGUUCAACGGUUCAUUUUGAUUCAAACGAUUUGCACAGUUCGAUCUGUUAAUAUCAAUUUUUAAGUUCAAUCAAUGCAAAGUAUGUACCAAACCGAAGCUAUGAAUGGUCGUGAAUAUUGCAUAGUUGCAUCUGCAAAAACCAAUCUGCCUUCAUCCCUGGUAGGCAAAUUUUGGACAACAUUAUGCUUUCUCAUGAAUAUUUGCACUAUCUAAAAAAUAAAAGGCAAGGUAAGGACGGGUUCAUGGCUGUGAAGCUGGACAUGUCCAAAGCUUAUGACAGAGUAGAAUGGAGCUUCUUGGAUGCAAUGAUGGCCAAAAUGGGAUUCCACAACAAAUGGAGAAACUGGAUUAUGGAAUGCUUAAGGACAGUAACCUACUCUUUCUCUAUAAAUGGGGAGGUUAAAGAAUAUGUUAUCCCAGGAAGAGGCAUCAGACAAGGGGAUCCCUUAUCCCCCUAUCUAUUUCUCCUUUGCUCAGAAGGGUUCGCAAGCCUUCUCAGACAAGCAGCAGGGAACAAGAGGAUAUCAGGAAUGAGACUUUGCAGGCAGGGACCAAGUCUUACUCAUUUGUUCUUUGCAGAUGAUUCCCUAAUCUUCUGCAAAGCAAACAAGCAGCAAGCAAUAGAACUGAUGAGAGUGCUGCAAGUGUACGCAACUGCAUCAGGUCAACUGAUAAACCUGGAUAAGUCUUCUAUACUCUUCAGCAAAAAUAUGUGCCCACAUAAGAAGCAUCAGAUCUGUCAUAUUAUGGGAAACAUGCAACAGGUAAAUCAAGGCAAGUACCUGGGGCUACCAAUGGUGGUGACUAGAACAAAGGAACAGAUUUUUGGUUUUGUACGAACAAACAUACAACAUAGGAUCCUCAAGUGGAAGAAUAGACUUUUAAGUGCAGCUGGAAAAGAGACAAUGCUCAAGGCGGUAUCAAUGGCUAUGCCCACGUACACAAUGUCGUGCUUCAAAAUACCAAAAAGAAUUUGCAAAGACAUCAGCUCUCUCAUGUCUAACUACUGGUGGGGGGAAGCAAAUGGUAAGAACAAGGUCCACUGGUGCUCCUGGAAGAAACUAACUCAGAAUAAGGAAAAGGGGGGAUUGGGUUUCAAGGAGUUGGAGGCUUUCAACAUGGCUUUGCUGGGUAAACAGGUGUGGAGGAUUCUUACAAAUCCAAACCUCCUGGUUAGUAAAGUUCUGAAGGCCAAAUAUUUCCCUAGGAGCUCCAUAUUUGAGUGCAAAAUUCCAAAGAAUGCAUCUUGGAUAUGGAGGGGCCUAAUGGCAGCAAGGAAAGUAGUGGAGCACGGGGUUAGAAAGAGAAUAGGCAAUGGGAGGAGCACACAAAUAUGGGAAGACAGAUGGAUCCCAGAUACUACCACUGGAAGAGUGACAACUAUGAAACAAGGAGAUAGCAGACUGCAUAAGGUCGAAGACCUGAUAAUUCAGAAGAGAUGGAACAGAAAUUUGGUGUUCCAGUAUUUUAACAAAGAGGAUGCAGAACGAAUCCUGAGCAUUCCAAUCAGUCUCGCUGGAAGAGAGGAUAGUUACUUCUGGAUGCAUGGUGAAGAUGGAAGAUACUCAGUCAGUUCUGGGUACAAGGGGUUGGUAUCCAAUAAAGAAAGGUCACAAGAAGUGAGUCAGAGGGAGGUAUCUACAAGCUGGGGGAAACAAACUCAUAAGAUGUGGAAAGUAAUGUGGAGACUCAAGCUCAAACACAAGCUGAAGAUUUUUCUAUGGAAAUGUUUGAACAACGCACUGCCUGUAAGGGAGCUAAUCAACGGCAGAACCAAAGCAGGUGACCCCAUUUGCAGAAGGUGUGGGGAAGAAGUAGAGACGGUGGAGCACUUGCUUCUGAACUGCAGAGAAACAAAACAUAUCUGGCACAUUGCCCCAAUCCAAUGGGAUGGGAUGCAAGAACAUCAUGGCUGUUUCAAAAGAUGGUGGAUCUCUGUCACUGAAGCAAGGCAUAGGAUAGCAGGAUCGCAACAUUUGGCCUUAACUGUCAACAUUCUUUGGCAGAUUUGGAAGGCUAGAAAUGACAUGGAAUUUACGGGGAAAGUUCAUCAGCCCUGGAAGAUUAUAAAGAGAGCACAGGAGGAAUGGCUACAAUUUGAUGAAGUUGCAAAGAAGGAAGCUAGGAUGAGCACAGGAGAAACAUCAACUCACAACAAUGAAGACCAGCAUUUAGAGCCGGAUGAGGGAACUGUGAAGAUGAUAGUUGAGGCAACAAGACAAACAGACAAACCUAUCUUAGGCAUUGGAAUCACUGCAGCUGAAAGGAACCAAGAACCAAUGAUAGGAUGGGCGCUAAAGGAAAGAAGCUCAGGGGUACAGCUACUGGAUGAUGCAGUAGCAUUAAAGCUGGCUAUGUGCAAAGCAAAUACUUUGCACCAGAGGAAUGUACAGUUCCAAGUGAAGAACAGGCAACUCCUCAAUCAUAUUCGAACUCAGAAGGCAAGUGACAGCAGAAUAGCUACGCUGGUGGAAGACAUUGUACAGUUGAAAAGGUUGUUUCAUAUGUGCUCCUUUUGUCUAGCUAGUAGUGAUAAAAAUUAUCUAAGCUCUAGGAUUAGCAUGUAUGCCUUAGGCAUCACAAUUGAUGAGGAAUUGGUGUUUCCUCAGUGUUAAGUACACUGGCUGUAAAGUCAAUUCGAGCCUUUGCUCGCACUUGUAUAUCUUUUGAAAGUAAUAUAAUCAAAUAUCGUUUCGGAAAAAAAAAAAAAAAAAAAAGAAUGGUCGUGAAUUGACUGGUCGAACUGGUUGGUUCGAUCUGGGUUUCAAAAUAGUUAUUUCGCAAUCAACCCCAAGUCAAAAGAAAAGUGGUCUAGUGACUUAUUAUUCUAAGUAACGAGUCAGGCUUCGAUUAAAUAAUUGAAGCGACAGGCUCUACACCGAUCUGAUUGAUUCAAUUGGACUUCAAGGCACUUUUGAGCCUUAUCUGCGACACUGAACUUCAAGCCUUGUUCCAAUAAUUGUAACACAUAUCCCACCAAGCCUGGAAGUGGGAGCAUAAGUAGAAAAUGAAAAUGUUAUUUAAUUUAUUUUGAGGUAAAAAUAACAAAUUUAUUAAUGAUAUAGCUGAAAUCUAUCAGUACUAUUUGCAUAACAAAGGUCAAAGGAGAAUUUCAAAGGGAUUCAAGUUAGUUGGCAGAGUUAGCAAAACGUACUAAGUUAUGUACAAUCUUGUUAGCCUCUCUAAAAAUUCAAAUUACAUCCACAACGUGUUGGUCUAAUAGAGCUAGUGAACAUCCUCAAUACAGAGCCUAUGUACGAGAGUAUAUCUUCAGAACUGCAAAUCAAUUUAAUAACCGAAAAUGCAACCUCUUUCAAAAUGAACUUGGAAUCAUCAAAAUCUUUGCAAGUGAAACUGCUUCUUUGGCGGUUACAGCUUCUGGCAGUUCAACAUUAAUUGGGCAUUUGAUUUUUUAGAUAAGCCAAAUAAUGAAUUGACCAUCAUGACUUUGAAUAACAACUGUAAUGCCAAUCACUUGAUUAACAGUUGAUAUAUAAACAUCAAAAUUAAUCUUGUAUGUGGGAACUAGGAGUACAAACGAGCUAAGCCAAAUCGAAUUUUGGUCUAAUUGAGCCGAGUUUCAACCUAGAUUUAUGAAACUCGAACUCGAAUUCGAGCUUGACAAGCUCAAAAUAUAAAGCUCGAGCUCGAGUUUAAAAAAAUAAAAAUAAAUAAUUAUUUCAUUUUUUAAAAUAAUAAUAAUAAUAAUUUUUCUUAACAAAUAAUAAAAUAUUAGGAAUAUGUAUGUAAUUUUACUAUUAAAAUAAAAAAUAAUAUAUAUGUAUAUAUAAUUGAGCACGAUCCGACUUGCGAGUUAAUGAACUUAGUAUUUUUUAGGUCGAGUUCGAGCUUGAAUUUGAUUUGGUCAACUCGAACUCGAGCUCGAGUUUGAUUACUAUAACUCGUUGUUGACCGAGCUCAGACUUGAGCCACUCGCAAUUGACUUAUGAGUGAUUCGACUCGUUUGCAGCCCACGUGGGAACAGAGGCAUGGACCAAUCUGAGUUCUGCCUUGAGAUGGAACCUGACACCAUGUGAGCAUUUGCCUUGAGAAAGUAGCAAGGUUUUUUUUUUUUUGGUAGAAAGUAGCAAGGUGAUGAUGUGCAAAAAUCGUCUUAAUUAAACUAAAUUAAAUUAUGUCAAGUCCCUUCACCUUUGGAUUGAAAAGUUGAGCCAGCGUCAUAUGGCUCUUAACAUAAAGGUGCAAGGUCCAUUUAAAAUGAAAUGGAUUAAUUAAUUUGUUAAUUCACAAUAUAUUAUUUGGACGGGUCUCUUAUUAAAACUCAAAUUAAAUGGAUUUUUUGAGUUACAAGUUAUCUAGAUUAUAAGAAGAUUAUGAAAGAUUUCUUGAAUACCAAACCUACAUAUUUUGGCUACAAAUAGAGACCUUCCCUCAAACCAAGAUAUAGAUUGAAAUUCUCAAAUUUUGGAAAAACUCUGUUAAACUCUCCCGAGAGCUUUUCUCCUCAUUAUCAAAUCAACUCCAAGUCAAGUCAAACAUAUUCUUCCAUUCGUGUUGAAGGCUUGAAAAUUGAAGAUUCAAGUGUUCAAAUGUCAUCAUCAAAUCAACCUUUUUUACGCCCCAAUUGUACAAAACACCCUUGUUAAUCAGAGAAGAAGUCUCUUCGACCCUUUGAUUAAAGUUCUGUGAAGAGAAGAAUCAGAAAUUAUGUUAUGUGUGGCUUUGUCCCACACUGAUUUUUUGUACAAGUGAGUCUUUUCCUUAGUUGGCUAUAAAUAGAAUUGAUCUAUAACGAGAUUAAGUGCAGCAACCCAAGAGAGUUUUAAUGGGUUAUUUGGGCCUUGGGUCAUUAAGUUUUUUUUUUUGUAAUAAAAAUAUUUUUAAACUCUCUUGUAUUUUAGUAUUAGGUGUUUCUCAGUUCAGGAACACUUUUCGAAGACUUUUGUAUUUUUUUUUCUUCACAGUGAAAUUCUUCUCCUCCUCCGUUCGUGGACGUAGGUCAAUUUAACAGAUAUCUCUGAUUUAUUUAUUUAUUUUUUCUUUUGUUAUUUGUAUUUUGGGAUUCCCGAGAACUCUUUCGUCAAUUUUCCUAGGACCAGACAUGAUAGAUUAAUUUUUUUGAUUCAAGAAUUUUCAGAAAUUGUAAUCCUUUUAUUUUUUGAUUUACAAGUUUUCUUGUUUUUUGUUUAGGCAACGAAAUUUGUAUUACAUAGAUAAUAGAACACAUUCCAGGCCAUAAUAUGAUAAGAAAAAUUUGGAUGUCCAAGUGGCUAAAAUCAUUAAAGUAAGAAUGAAAUCAUCAAGUUACAUAUCAUGAUAUAAGGUAGGUUGUACAGCUCUUGGCAGGUGGACAUUUUCUACACCCCAUUUCUCGCACCCCAUUUUUUGAAAAAUAAAAUUACGAGUUAUAAAAAUGAAUUUUUGAGUGAAAAUGAGUUUUUGAUUUUUAGAAAAUAAAUAAAGAAAAAGGACCUAAAAUGGAACUUAAAAAGUGCGACGGUUUUGGCCCAAAAUAAUAGUCUAAAAAGGGUUUUUAAGAAAAAUAGGAGUCGCCACUUGGUAUUGAGUUAAGAUGUACCAAGUCACCUAAAAAUGUAUUUUUAAUAAAAAUAGAUAAAACCCUUUUUAGACGACUCCAGAUCUUUGAAAACAAAAGAAAAGAGUUCGGGAGUCACGGUUGAAGAAAGAGAAGACAAACCCUUUCAAUCUAGUCAAGGCUAGUUGCGUGAUUUAGUCGAAAAUUUUCUUAAUCUAAUCUACAAAACUUGUCACAUUUGGAUGUUACUACAUGGAUGCAAACUUAGAUCUAAUGGAUAUCGGGAGGGUCGAAAUAUCUCUUCAGAGUUUAAUUGGUGCUAAUCACAUUAAUUGUGAUGCUCAAAAAUGAUUCUUAAAAGAGGUUACAAAUAUGCAAAAUGAGACUCAAAGAAAAGAAGAAUUAUAAUAUAUAAAUAUACAUGACCUAAAAAGAGGAAUACAACAUAACGGGUAUGAAGAACUAAGAUUCGUGACUCAAUUUUCCUUUUUAUAGAGGAGAUACGAUUGUGUUAAGGCUAAAAAGUUAUACUCGUCCAUUUCCCAUAUCUGAAGGAUGACUCUUCUAAUCUAGUCAAGCAAAUGAGCUAGCUUAUUUCUAAUUUCCUAAAUGGAAUGCAAGUCUAAGUGUCAUGUUUCGCACACAUAGGGAUAAAGGAAAUAAUAUAUAGAGGAUAUAUCACGCAAGAUGUGAAAGGAUCCUAAAAAUGAAAAACAUGUAUGAAAUGCGAUGAAUAUCACGCAAAGAAUGUGAAUCUAAUGCGAAAAACAACCUAAAGUGUCUAGCGUUGGACUAACCCAUUUCUACAAGUUUUCACUAAUGUUGGACUAGUGAGAAAUCGGGGAGAAAGACCACAACUAGCGUUGGACUAGUAUGGUGACGUCAUGCAUUUAUUAUAACUAAAUAAAUCAUAUGAAACAUAAUAAAAUCAAGUAAACACAUAGAUCACAUAGCACGGAAGCAUAAUAUCUAGAUGCAAACCUCCAAUGAAAGCGAGUAAACACAUAAGCACACAAGCAUGCAAACACCCAAGCAAAUAAAUGCAAAUAAGAGUCUAACUAUUACAUUCAGGGCCCUAAUUACAAUCUAAAGGAGAAAAUUUAAAAAUAAUAAUUUAACUAUUACAUUUAUCUAACUAAAUGCAUUUUUAACAAAAUUAAAACCUAUCUAUUACAUAGGCUAGCUAAAUACAUGUCUUGAUCGCCUAUCUAUUACAACUUGGCAUUUUAAUGCCUCUCAAAUAAUUAUCAAAAUUAAAUUAAAUAAAACAAAUGAAACUUAAAAUGAAUAAGAAUGACUAAUUAAAAGAAAGAAAAGCACUCAAAACAUGCAAUUGCACAUAAUAACACAUUGGAGCACAUAAAAGAAUUUAAAAUAAUAAAAGAGGUAACCUCCCUUGAAGUGGUGAUUAAAUGGGGUGAAAUUUACUCUACUUAUGCUCCAAAAUGAUCAAGACACCAAUUUAAUUAUAAAUAAAUGAAAAUAAUCAUGAAAUCUACCAAUCAAAGUACUUAAAUGAAGCAUAAUUAAUAAUUAAAGAAGAAAAAUAACUUGUAUUUAAGAAAUCAAAACUGCUAUGGACUUAAUUACAAAAAAUAAGAAAGUUUUUGGGAUUAAAUUAUAGUUAUUACAAAAAUUAGAGGUCAAAAUGAAAUAAAAAUAAAGUCUAGGGACCAAAAUGAAAUUAAAAUAGGGACCUAAUUGAAAUGAAACCAAAGUUUUUAAGGCUAUAGUAUAAUAACUAAAAAAUACAGAGAUUAAUCUGCAAAAACGUUUUCUAGUUUCUUGAGUAAACAGGCCAUGAAGCCAUUUUUUUCUUUCUUUGGGCCAAAGGCUCCCUAAGCCCGGUGGAAAACCCAAGAAAAUGGGCAGGCUAGCCUUCAUUUUUCAACAAAAUAAAACCCAACCUAAUAAAUGGGCUUUAAUCUGCUAAGCCCAUACUUAAACCCAUAAAAAAUUUGCUAAAGCCCACUUCUAAAACCCAAGUAAAAUAGACCAGAUUUUUAUAUCAAAACCCAACCAAACAAACCUCAAUCCAACCCUCCAACUAUUUUUACUAAACCCAACAAGAUAAAAAUCUACUAAAAUUUAUUAAAGACUGAUUAUACUCUAAAUCCCAGAAAUAAUCUGCUUAAAAAAGUAUUUAAGAUGUGAAAAAGAGGAUUGGAACUUAAUAAGGGCAAAAAUGGUUCGAUUGCAGAAGUACUUGGGUCAUAGUGAAAUUAUAUAAAAAUUUGGGUUCAAAAUGAAAUUUUUCAAAAUUUUGCAUGCAAAGCUUCGAAGAAGCUUUCUUCUUCUGCAACAUUCCAUCCGCAAUUCUUUCUGCAACUUUCGGUUAUUCAUUAUUCAUGUCUCUUGCACAACAAAGGAAAGGAAGGAAACUAGCAUGCCAUUUUAACAAAAAACAAUCCCAACCCUCUAGCAUAAUUACCAAGAACAUCAAUGAAGCUACCCAACUUUGAUGGAAGAAACAGGUUCUUAGGACAAGAACAUGUCCAGGCAAAAAAGGAACGGAAUAUGGGACGAACAUGAAUGACCAAGAGAAAAUAUAAUCCCAACCAGAUCCAUUUAUAUAUAUUAUCAUCCUCCAUUGCAUUAAAUCAUUGAAUGAACUAAAUUCAUCCAAUCUCAGACAAGGUCAUCCAUUGAAAUAUAGAGUUAUACCAAGAAAUAAUCAACCCAAAAAUGCAGAUUUGUGUGGAUUCCAUUUCAUUCAUGAACUAGAAUCGAUAAGAAAUGAAGUCACGAUUACCUGAGGGUGAAUCUCGGAUAAUAUUGCUGCCAAAGAAACGAUCAAAAGCUGGUUUCUAUGGAAUGUGCACGAACUUGCAGGUGUAGCAGUCAAACGAAGUCACGACUUUAAAGGGCGAAUUUGGAGGCUUUCUUGACGUUUUUUCUCUCAAUGUCUGAAUAAAAGUUGUUCAGAUUCCUCCCAAGAAGGUGUAGAAAUGGAGAAUCUGCUCCAAGAACUCAAAAAAAAGAUCAGAAUUUGACAAUGAAGAAGGCUGACGGCUCAACCUGGUCCUCAGAUUUUUUCCCAGAAAAUUUUUCUGUUUCUUCCUUUUUCUUCCCCGUUUUCUCUCUUUUCUCUCUAUUUUCUAUGCUCCGCCGCCUCUCCCUCUUUUUUUUUUUUUUUUUUUCUUGGCUGCGUUUAUGAGCCUUUUAUAGGCACAAAACACCCCCCCCCCCAACCCUAACAACAAUGGUGUAGAUGAAAAUUUUUUUGUGGGGUUUUUGGAGCCAUUGGAUGGCUUAAAUCUGGAACCUUCUUGGCAAUUCGAAUUAGAGUGACGUGGCUUGGUACUGAGGGGUUUAAAUGGAAAGAAAAAAAGUGAAAAAAAAUGUGUGGAAUUGGGAUCAAAAUGUAGCUGCAUCUUUUGGUACUAUUUGCUGGUUUUUGUACCAGCUUCGUGAAGAAGAUGUAUACGCGUGUGUGGAAUUUUUUUUUUUUUUUUACAAAUACCAAUUUUUUUCAUUUUUUUCUUUUCUUUUCCGAUUUUUCUAAAAAGAGUGAUUUUUAUCAAGAAAUAGAAAAUAAACAUAAUUUAACUAAAAUGAACAAAAAUAAAAAAAUGAAGAAAAAAUGGUAAAAUUUUGGUAUCUACAGUAUUAUGCCUUAAUUUUAUGUGCUAGAAAAAUAUUUGUACCUUUCAAGGAAAAGUAUUGUUUCCAUAAGACAAAUUGAAUAAAGUUGUUCAAAUAAUCCAAUUGAAAAUUUAAAGCAUGGCAGCCUUUUAAUUUUGAUUUUAGGUGAAAGAGUUGGGUGAUUAUGCAUGUUAAAGAGGUCUUCCACUUGCUAGAACACUUAAUUCAUACCACAAGUUAAUAAAAUUGUACUUUAGAACAAAUCAUUUCUCAUCAAUGAAACUUUUAAACAUUUCAUGAUAUCAAAAUCUCUACUUCAUGUUAAGAAUAUGAAGUCAUUAUUAUUUUAUAAAUUCAAUACUUUUUUUAAUCCUCAAGUAAAAAUCACCCAGAGUGCAUUAUGAAAUUUAUAAGUAGUUUGUGUUCCAAGUAAAUAACAUGAGUUGUCUAAUGAAAUGUUAGGAAAACAGAGAGCAUCAUUUACUUGUAUUUUGUCAUCAGUUUUAUGCAUUAUGUUUUUUUCCUUUAAUUUCCUUUAAUAAUUCCAAAAUUAAAUUAAAUUUCCAAUCCAACUCAAUUCAAUUAAGAGUCUAUUCCACGCAAGUUGCACACAAGUUGUGCGAAUUCAGUUAUGAGUCAAUUGUAGACAAAAUGCACGAUUUCCUUUCAUACACAAAAUGCUUUCACCAAAUGCUCAUAGCCCAACAUGUGCUCUAGAUUUCAAUUUGUCUCCGUGUUAAUUCAGUAAUCAGUCAUAAAUGAUCAACAGCACAAUUGUUCUAUGGCAUAGAUAAAUCAAGGAUACACAUUCUAUCAGCACAAUUGUUGGAAGCAUUUAGUAAAUACCACUCACCACUACAACCACUGAUGCAAACAUGAUGAACCAGGACCCUUCCAAAAGAGUUGCAAUCUGCCCAAACGAAGAGUAGUUUCAUUAGUAAUUUCUGAAGUUAUUAAAGUCGUUUGUUUAGUCUUGUUAAGCAAGGUAUAUUUGUCAUUUAUCUUGCUGAUUUAGUUAUUAAUUUUAGCUUAAUAAUUUCGGCCAAACACACCCUUAUCAUGGAAGAACCAUAGUCCUUAAUUUUAGGGUCUAGAUUGAGUCCAAUUAGCUUUAGGUUUUAGUCAUUGUAAGGCUAUAUAUAGCCCUAGUCUUAUUCAUGCAAGUGGUCAGAAAUUUAAUACAAAUUUUCGUGAGUUAUUCACUUUCUCUUAUCCAAGAGAGUUUCCUUUGAAUACUUGAGAAUUGUCUUAAGUUAUUUAUCCGAACUUAUCAAUCAAGUAUCUCCUUGGUCGUGGCGUUCUCCUAUUUAUAGUUUGGUUCGCUAAUUCGUUAAGUAGUGGGUUGAGAUAGUAUCAAUAUUGUUCGCUACUUCGGGUAUUAGAUUGGGUCAAAUUUCCUCUGCCAAACCGUCGGUGAUUGGUUGUCUAGAUCGUGUCCAAGUGUAGAUCACAUCAACCACACCUUCUAAAAUUAUAAAGUCACAAUCUUUAUAUCUGAAUGCCAGAACCAUGACUAAGAGCUGCUAUAUUUUCUAAAAAUCAUGCAACAUCUUUUCAUUUUAUUCAUUUCUUGCCAAGUAAUGGCAAGCUUGUUCCGCUAUUCACUCUUGAUGAAAUAUUAGUUUUUAUAUUUUGGUCACUCUAGGUGUUGCAUUAUUGUCAUGCCAAACAAAAUGCAUAUUCGUAUUUCAUUUUGUUGCAUUUCAUUUUAAAAGUUAAAAAAGAAAUCUUGGUUUUUUUUUUUCCUUUUGGGUUGCACUUGCAAGCUUUUGUUAUUUAUGUUCAAUGUGCUAAUAGUAUUUAUCUUUCAGUCAUCCUUAACGCAUUAUUAUUAUGCCAGAAAAUAUGCAUAUCCGUAUACCUUUUGGUCUUCUUUCUGCAUCUCAAUUUGUCUCUUUCAGCUUUCAGUCAGUAUUCAAUUCAAAGUACAGCAACUAUACCCAUAUUUUGUUCAUUCUGCUGCUGAGAUGAAUCGAGUUAUUUGCCUAAAUAGCUCCCUUCACAAAAAAUGUUAUGAUUCAAUUUCAUACUUUAUUCGCAUAACAACCUUUUUUGUAAUCUAUCCGAUCAAAUUCAAAUGGAAAUGAGAAAAAGGGUAAAACCCUUCACUAGCCGUUAAUAUUGUCCAAAAAUCCCCUAUAUAACUAUCAUACUCUAGUCUGAAUCUAUCUUUUCCUUUUUGACUAUAAUACUCUACUCUGUCUUUACUUGUUACUCAAGUAUCCAAAAAAAUCUCGAAUACUUAGCAUAAAUAUGACGAUAUUUUCAAACAUGAGAGCAAAAGUCUUGAAUACUUAACAUAAACCUAACGAUAUUUCCAAAGAUGAGACCAAAAUCUAAAAUCUGACUGUUUCUCUUUGUGAUGCUUUCCUUCUUAUUAAGAAAAAAAUAAAAGAAAAACUCACUACAAAUCCAAGAAAACUAUUAUCACCAAACACGAAAAGCAAAAUCUAAAAUUUUGAUUGUUCAUCUCCAUUCCAGUUACAGUAAUUUUCUCUUUCUGAUGCUCUCUUUCCUAUUAAGAAUGAAAAAAAGGAAAAACUCACUACAAAUCUAGCAAAAUUGGAAUUAUUAGUAUGUUUGUACAGAACUCUCCAUCACUUGUUCAUUCAAUUAACUCUUUCCAGAGUUUUAGUUUUGAUUUUGUCAUACUGCAUUGAACCAAACUCACUGCACAUGUGGCAAUAUGGAGGGAAUAGCAUGUAGGGCUGAGGAAAGGAGUCUUAUGCUUUUAUUUUGGAUGGAUACCUGUGAAUCUAGAACCUCCAAUGUUAAUACUGGUGGUAACGAGAAUUUGAAUGAGUUUGAAGAACUUGAUUUAGAAAGUAUGGAGGAGGUUGCUCCUUAUUAGGGGAUAAGGUCAGAAAAUUAGAUUAGUAAUAAAAUUUGGAGUUGAAUCAUUGCAGGAAUAUUUUUUGAAAAAAAGGUUUAUUUGACAAAAAACUCGAGAUGAAUUUAGGAUACGUAUCCAUAUCUCUCUAUUGCUGUGAACAUGACUCGUAUUUUUAUUUUCUCACUUCUUUCUUUCCUUACCUUCACUUCAGUGCAUCAAACAGUCACAAAAGAGGCUAGCAAGGGUAAAAAAAAAAAAAAACACACACACACACACACACAUUUGUAUUCAAUUAAGAGUUUCUUCAAGCAAGAGCUGACUCUUUUGCUGAUUUCAGCCCAAUUUUGAGGGUCCUAUGAUGGCUUUAUAUAUGUCUUUAAGGGUCCGUUUGUUUCGGGUGAAAAUGUUUUUCAGGAAAAUAUUUUCCUAAUUUCCCGUGUUUGGUUGCACAAAAGUUACUGAAAACAUUUUCCCCGUGUUUGUUUUCCGAAAUGCAUGCAUCCCGCCUGUAGUAUGUUCCAAACUUACUGAAAAUAUCUUGUAGUAUGUUCUUUUUUUUUUUUUUAAUGUAAACAGGAGGAUUCGAACCCAAGACCUCUUCCUUACACUCCCCCCCCGUACCACCCAACCCAACCCAACCCUCCCCCUAGUAUAUUCAAAAUAAAAAAAAAAAACCUCAUCCUGCUCAUCCUAUGCUAGUAAUUAAUUAUGUAUAAUAGGAACAUUCUUUUCUAGAGAAACUUUCAGCAGUGAGAGUGCAAGAUAUAUGUCACAAUAAGCAUUGCAUAUGAUUGAUUUUUGACACUAAAUGGCCAGCAAUUUGUUUAUUGCUUAAGGAGAUAUUUUUUAUUCAUAUAUACAUUUCUCCAAGAUUUUUUAAAGUUAAACAAUGAGAUAAAUUUUCUUAUUUUGCAUGGGAAGAAGUAUGUAGUUAUAAUGUGUAGAAAGUAAAGAUAGAGAUAAAAGUGAAAAUAUUUCAAAAGUUAAACAAACACCAGAAAAAUGAAGUAAAAAAAUAUUUUCAAUAAGCUAACCAAACACCUGAAAAUGAUGAAAGGGAAAUGAUUUUCAUGGAAAAUUACUUCCACGGAAAAUAUUUUCCCAAGGAAAACAUUUUACUUCCAAUCAAACAGACCCUAAAGGCAAAAAAAUUGCUCAUUUGACCGUUCUCUUUUCUUCUAAUUUUAUUCUUGGCUUAGCAUGAGAUGAAAAGUGCUCAAAUUGUUCAUGUUAUAGAGAAUUAGGUACUUGGAAGCACCAUCCGAAGUCAAUUCCUAUCUUGUGGUGAAUUUUUACAAUUUGUGGCUCGUGCAUGUAUGUUUCUUCUAUUGCACCUUUUGUUUUGAUAUUGGCUCUUUUGGCUUUAACAACUACCAUGGCAAUUUUUUUUAGCUAAUUCUAGUGGAAGAUUUUGAGUCUCUGAACCAAAAACCUAUUCAAUUGAUAAACUUUCAAGUUCACGUUUUUUAGUUUGUUCUUCAUUUAUUAUGUGCCUUAGAACACCACUAACCUCCUAACAUACUUGAAACUUAAUAGAAAAUAUCUUAAAUUUAAAUAUAUCCCUACUUGCUAUCUUUUAGUUAUAAUUAAAAAAAAAACUUCCAUAAUGGGAAUUGCGGAAUUCAAGGGUCUGUUUGGUUGGAAGUAAAAUGUUUUCCUUGGGAAAAUAUUUUCCGUGGAAGUAAUUUUCCAUGAAAAUCAUUUCCCUUUCAUCAUUUUCAGGUGUUUGGUUAGCUUAUUGAAAAUAUUUUCUUACUUCAUUUUUCUGGUGUUUGUUUAACUUUUGAAAUAUUUUCACUUUUAUCUCUAUCUUUACUUUCUACACAUUAUAACUACAUACUUCUUUCCAUGCAAAAUAAGAAAAUUUAUCUCAUUGUUUAACUUUAAAAAUCUUGGAGAAAUGUAUAUAUGAAUAAAAAAUAUCUCCUUAAGCAAUAAACAAAUUGCUGGCCAUUUAGUAUCAAAAAUCAAUCAUAUGCAAUGCUUAUUGUGACAUAUAUCUUGCACUCACACUGUUGAAAGUUUCUCUAGAAAAGAAUGUUUCUAUUAUACAUAAUUAAUUACUAGCAUAGGAUGAGCAGGAUGAGGUUUUUUUUUUUAUUUUGAAUAUACUAGGGGGAGGGUUGGGUUGGGUUGGGUGGUACCGGGGGGGAGUGUAAGGAAGAGGUCUUAGGUUCGAAUCCUCCUGUUUAUAUUAAAAAAAAAAGAACAUACUACAAGAUAUUUUCAGUAAGUUUGGAACAUACUACAGGCGGGAUGCAUGCAUUUUGGAAAACAACUUCAGUAAGUUUGGAAGGGAAGUUGUUUUCCAUAAGAUGAGUGAAAAUAUUUUACAUAGGAAAAUGUUUUCAGUAACUUUUGUGCAACCAAACACGGGAAAUUAGAAAAAUAUUUUCCUGGAAAAUAUUUUCACCCGAAACAAACGGACCCCAAAUCGUGUAUCACUAUUCAUAGGUGUGAUCUAGUUUUUACAAAUUUCAAAAUUUUAUAUUAUUCCUAUAAUUCAACGAAUAUUUAAUGGUAUUCCUAAUCAAGUGUGUCACUUUGCUAAUUCUUUUGGUAAUUAUACACUAUAUUUAACUCACAAAUAUCGGCAUUUAUAAUUAUUUUAUUUUAAGUAAAUAAAAUAAUCUAACCUACAUUACCUUAGAAUUUAUGUCAAUUGAAUCAACACUUCAAGAGACCCCACUUACACUAAAAAACAAAAAAAUCAACGCUUCAAUACCAACUUUUUAUUUAAUUAAUUCCCAGGAAUUAUUCGUCAUGCAUAGGUUUUGAAAGGAUUUAAUCAUAUUUAACUUAAUAAGCUUACCUCAACCAGACAAAUUUUUUGCUUUUUUUUACUUUUCUUGAUAUGGUUAAAUACCUGACAUAGACGCCAACCAUUUAUUAAGUAUGGAACAACAAACCAUCCAUCAAGAAUUGAAAAUAACUUUUUAAAGAUGGGAACAAGAUCUUUACGUGAGAAAUAUAUGGCAUCACGUUAUAUAAUACAAAAGUAACCUAAACCAACCAAUCCGAGAAAAACCUUGCAUUUUUUCAUUCUUUUUCCAAUAGAACAGCUUAUGGAAAAAUAAUGUGUCAACUUAGAUAUCAUGGAUUCAAACUUUCCUUCUCCCUCCUUACUUCUUAAAUCCCACACUUUUUCUAUUCAGAAAAUUUUUUUUUUUUAAAAAAAGAUAAUGUGUCAGUGUAUGAGUUUUUUUUUUUGUCAUUCUUUUCCAUUAGAGGAGUUGAGAGAAUGCCAAAUAAAAAGUUACAAAUUUAAAUUUGUCCAAGACAAUGAAAUUGGUAUCCUCCAUGAUCUCCAGUUACAUGAAGAAAUAGUAAAUUUUAUAUACACUGACAUGAAAAAACACUGAAUAUCAUGGUUGGAUGCACGACACAUAUGUAAAAUUUGAGUUUCAAAUUCAAAUUUCGAUUAUGUGACAUGUAUUCAAUAGUGAAAGUGUAUGCACUAUCAGUAUAUAAAAAAUUAAUUCAAAAGGAAUUUUAUAGUUAACUGAUAUUGGAUAUUAAGUCAUGCCAUUCGAAUUACAAUAAAGUCAACAAGUAGAAACAAACAAAUAUAACUUGCAGUUAAUCCAAUUCAAAAGGCGUAAAUUGGUUAUAGUGUUUGCUGGACAAGUCAUGGCAACCAUUGGAAAAGACAACCCUUUGGACGUCAUAUGACAUCCAAAAUUUUGCUGCAAUCGUGAUUAUUUUUUUCGUCACAUUGAUGGCAAAAUGAAACUAAUUUUGAUGAAUGGGUAAGAAAAUCAACCAAAACGAUAAAGUCAACCAAAAAUUCCAUUCAUGAUAAGAAGCAAAAGUAUUGACAUUGAGUUUGUGAAGAUUAAUUGAACUUUAUGUUCCAUAAGAUUGUAGACUAGUUUGGUUACAAAAAAUUUUAAGUUCCAUAGGAUUGUAGACUAGUUUGGUUACAAAAAAUUUGAUUUGUGCCUCUGUAAUUACCACUUUUAAUUGCACUAACAAUGUGUACAUAAAUUUUAUAUAAAUACAGCUCCACUAAUUUUAUUUCAAAUACAAUUUUGAAUAGGAUUGUUGGAUCCUUAUUGAUCCAGUAGAGAGCAUCAGAUUGGUCAAAAACCAACUACUAGGCAUGUAGUUUGUGCUGAUCAAAAUAAAAUUUCUCACACCAUAUGCUAUAUCUGCAAAAUGUCUACACAAUGCACACACUAACACAGGUAUGCAAUGUAUCGACUCAUACAGGAGACGGGUUUUAUGACAAGAGAUGUAGACACUAAUAAAAUAAUGUGGAAAAAUACAACAUUUUAACUAUGAACCAAAGUUUUUAAGGUGUUAAUUACUCUUCAAAAUCCUCCUAAGUGGUUGAUCUUGAUUAGAUUUAAUUUAUCCAUAUCCUUUGCUAUCCUACUAUGACCCCAAUGUAAAGAAAUAUAGACCAUUAUUAGUUAGCAAUUUUUUUAAAUUUACAUUUUUUGUUUUUAAAAUUUUACUUUGUUUUGGCUUUUUGAUUAAGGAGUUAUUAAGAGCAAAGGUAACGUUGUCAAUUUAUGACCUUUGAUAGGAAUAUUUAGUCUUGUCAAGUUAACAAAGGAAGUAAGUGAGAUUUUAAAAUUUUGAGGGGAGCUAAGUGAUAUUAUAACAAACCUCAGGGAGAUUUCUGAAAUUAUCCCUUAAUAAUAAGUAGUCAUAAAUAUAUUGGUUAUAUAUUUCUUUUAGACACAAAAAAAUAAAAGAUCCUCCAAACUUGAGAGUUGAGAUUCUGAUACGUAAUGUAAGGGCGCAUAUAAAUCUUAAAGGUUGUUAAAACUGAUUAUGUACAGUGGCUUAGACAUUACUUCAAUAGAAAAGCAACUAUCUCCAGCAAUGAGAAGAGUACAAUAUUUAUUAGAUGGGUAUUAGUGGGAACACUAGGCAACUUACAUUCUCCAUAGUUAUUCAGUGAUAAACAAUUUGGUGAUGAUGCUUCAUGCUCCCUCCGGUAGAAUAAAAAUACCAAGGAGUUUAUGGAACUGGAGGGCAAAAGAUUACACAUUAUGCUUUAAUUAGUGUGAUCUAUAUAUAUGCAGAUGAAAAUCCAUAUUCAAUUAUGCAUGCACAUUUCUUAUCUUACAAGAUAUAAAAUUGUGAAGGGAUCAAAGCUGAGUCAAAUAUGGACUGGUUAUAUGGUAAUUUUGACGACUUUGAGUGGCUUUUGUAUGGUAAGUUAGGCCAUUUUAUUUCGUUAUUUUGAAUAAUUUGUACUUAAUAGUUAGUGUAUUUGGAUAGGAGAUUAUUUGGAAUAAUUUGUUUAAAAACAUACUGUAGCACUUUUUUAAUGUGAUGUAUGUGAGAUAAAAAAAUAAUUAAAAAAUGUGCUUACGAUACAAGUAAGUCAAUCAGUGUGUAUAAAUAAAAUGUAAAUAAGGUGCAAACCAGACACACUCAGCAGUGACUCUUCAGUUUUCAUGUGUUGAAUAUUCAAAAUUGUUUAGCACUAGGCAAAAUAGACCGGCACUUCUUUAAGGUAACAUGUUGGGAGCCCACAACUUGGCUUGUGAAAUAAAUAAUUGGUUACUACAAGGCUCUUUUCUUUGACUUCUGUAGUUGUUAUCUUUGGAGAAUAAUGGAAGUGACUCUAAAUUAUGUUUAAAAUUUGAUAGAAAACAUUUGCUAGAGAUCGUUUUGUGCGUCUUUGGCAAAGUAGUCGUUUUUCGUAUUGGCAUCCUAAAGCGUAGUCAUAAAAUUGUCGAGGUUAAUGUUCUAACUUUUGUUGGAGGAUCAUUUACAUAGGUUAAUUUGUUACUGAAAAAUGCUUUUUGGAACAUCCUUUGCUUUUGGACUGGUCUCAAGGCAGCAAAGUUUCUCAUACAUAUUCCUGUUUGUCUCUUUAAGUUUUAUUUAACGAACGUUGCAGGCUUUGUAUGUGUUUUUAUUUUUUAUUUUUUUUUUAUGGGUGACGGGUGAUGUGGAGAAGUCUGUUGCCCUGGUGGUUGAUUGGCCUUUUUAAAUGGCUGAAACAAUUGGGAGGGGCCAUGGUUUGAGACUUGCAUAUACAUAUAUAUAUAUAUAUAAUAACUCUUUGUGUGAUUAAUUUUUCAUACACUAACACUGUAUAUAUUAAGAGGUUUAGAUGCUUGUUGCAUCAUUAUAAUUAUAAUUAUAAUUUUAAAUUUCGUUCAUAUAAUAUGUAUCCAAACCCGUUACUAUACACACUAUUAAUGUAUGAAAACUGAUUAUGAGAACACAUCGAUCUCAGUAUAUGACUAAUAUAUGAGGUAGGUUUAGAAGUAAUGCAUUAAGAAUAAGUAAAUCCCUCGACUCUUUCGUACCAAUACAAAGCCAAGGGAAAAGAAUUUGCAAGUUUUACAACUCAUUUUUUUUUUUUACAGUGCAAGUGGGAGGGUUUAAACCGCAGAACUCUCACUAUUUGUUUUGACUUGUUCUAAGAUUAAAAAAAAAAGUUAAAUUUAGGAUGCAACCCUCAAAUACACUUUUUAAAAUAAUAUUUAACUUUCAAGUUUGAAUAACACAAAAAAAUCGAAUAAUGUUAGUAUCUUUUUCUUAGAUUUUUUUUUUCAAAAAUUGGCUAAAAUUUUUUACGCCAAUCUCAAUUUACUAUUGCUUGACCUAUUCCACUUAACAUUCGUUUUAGCAACAGCUUUGUCAAUGUUCAACAAAUGAAGGAAAGCAACCCUUCAAGAAAAAAAACAAGAGUUGGGCAAAAGUACAACCAUGAACUUAGGAACUGCACAUUGUGGGCUCAAAUUGUUUGGAAUUAUAUAGUCGCUGCACCUUUUGUCAAUGCUAAAUCUUAAAAUCAAGAAAUGUGGUUCCAAUUCUUCAAAAUCAACACUAAUAAGUAAUUGCGGUCGGAGCACACCAAUACUGGCGACGAAGUCAACUCAGCAUUUUAUACUGUGGUUCAGGAAACUUCAAUACGUGGCAAAUGCAAUGCCGCGCCAAGUUUCUUGUGAAUUGAUUAGUUUUGACUUUCCAUUACACAAAAAGAAAAGAAAAUAUAAAUUUAUCAUUUUAGAAAGAACUUAUUCUAACUUUAAAAUACUAUUCUGACAUUAUCGCCGGCCUUAGUUUUUUUUUUAAAUAAAAUAUCAUAAUUGCGUUAAAAUCUACAUUAAUGAUAGAAAUUACAUCAUCAAACAUAAUAUCAAAAAACAGAUUUGAAGAACAAUAAAAAUUAUAUUAUAAAAUUUCAAAUUCAAAAUAUGAGAUAAAAUAAUUAUAAUUCUACGAACAUAUAUGAUCUGCUAAUUAACUGUUUCAAGUCUAGAUAUUAUGGUAAAAUCUGGUGAAUAAAUCCAACAAAUUCCAUAUCUAAUAAUCAAGAUCUGAAAAAACUCAGAUCUAAUAAGAUACUAAUAAAUUAGACCAUUAACAAAUUCCAAAUAUUAUCACCGGCCUCAGUUGCUUUAGUUGGAUGAAUUUUUAAGAUACUAAUAAAUCAGACCAUCAACAAAUUGCGUCCAUUUUACUCAAAACUAUACAUCACAAUCCAACAAAGUUGGAUUAUCAGUGCCCAUUAGUGUCAAAAUUUACAUCACAAUACCUCGCCAGCACAAGAAGACUGACCAUGAAGUCCAGUAGGGGUGCGCACAGGUCGGGUACCCGCCCCUAACAAGAUUUGGCUGACCCGACCCUAAAAUAUCGGAUCAGCCAUUUUGCGACCCUAACCCGCUCCUAAUAUUUUCGGGUACCCGCUAUUCGGGUACCCGAAAAAAAGGGGCGGUCAUAGGGUACCCGCUCCUAAAAAAAAAUUAUUUUUCAAUAAAAAGAUAUUUUUCACUUAAUAUCAAUAUGUUUUCCAAUAAAAAAAAUAUGCUUUCCAAUUAAUAUUGGUAGAGAUAUUAUAAUCAAAAUCCAUACAUCACCAUUCUCACAUAUUUCAUCCAAUAAUCAAACUGAUUUCAUAAAUUUAGUACAUAUUACAAUUAUAAUAUCUAAUAGAUAAAACGAAAUUUUAUAAUAAUUUUGAGUACAUCACCAUUCUCACGCAUUUCAUCCUUCUACAAUAUAACAAACACAUGGAUAAUAAGUAUAUGACAACUUUUUCAACUUCCUUAAGGAUGUUAUGGUACAAGAUUGCAUCCAAAAUGAGUCGAUUGUGGAAUCAAAUCCGGAAAAGAAUUGAACAGAGCUAAUAAUUUUUGAAGAAAGUAUAACCAAAAUAAUCUUGAAAAAUUUUCCCCAACUUUCUUACAUCGUUGGAAUAGACCUUGUUGCAUUAAAGGUGAUGAAAAAGAAAAAUAAAUUUCUUGCACUAAAAUAAAAGGAGGCAAAUUUAAGAGGCACAAUUGCAAUAAAAUAAAUAAAUAAAUGAAAGACACAAAUGUUUUAAUUAUCUAGCUAACAAAAAAUUGGAGCUCCAAAUACAAAUUCUUGAUUGAAUUGAUGAAAAAUUUGUAGGAAAGAUCGAUGGAAGUAAAAUAAAAAUGAAAAAGGAUGAAAGGAACGAACAAUUUUUAUGAUAGAGUUUCACAAAUUUUUCUUUGUUUAUUCAUUUGGUUCAGAUUUCGCCAAGAAUAUUCGCUUUUUUUAGACAAAAUGAGGAGAGGCGGAUCAUAUGAGAUUAAAAUAUGAGGUUGUGAACCACUUUACUUACACUUAUGAUUAAAAAUUAUAAAAUUAUAUAAUGAACCCUUUUUUUUUUAAUAUUUAGAUAAUAUAUCUUGCGGGUCGGGUACCCGCGAGUUUUUAUUUUGCUGAUCCGUAUCCGUAUCCGUUUUUGCGGGUACCCGACCUGUGUCUGCCCCGCUAAGAAAAAUAGGAUCGGAUAUCCUAUUUUUCGGAUCGGAUCGGGUUAGCCGGGUUUCGGAUCGGACCGGGUUUUUUGCCCACCUCUAAAGUCCAGUGUAGGUCCUUUGUAUUUAGAAGAUUCACACUACAAUUUCAUUCUAUAAAUACCAUCUCCAGUCGCAUUGCUUAGCACCCCAGAUCCUCUUCAAGAACUACACAUUUCUUCAAAGCCUUUGUUCCUGAAGAGAACUUUUGUUUACUCCCAAACACCAAGCAAGGCAUCAUGGCCCCUCUCACUUGUGAUUAUGAGGUCCCCUGCUCAAUCCCUCCUGCAAGGUUGUUCAAGGCCUUCAUCCUUGAUGACCACUUCAUUACUAAGGUGCUGCCACAGGCCAUUAAAAAGGUCGAAAUCGUUGAAGGAGAUGGAGGAGUGGGAUCCAUCAAGUUGAUCACUUUUGGUGAAGGUUAGUUCUAAAGAUUCACUUAAUCAUCAUUUCAUAAUUUUUUGUCCAUAAAUUCUAAUAAUUUUAUAUAUAUAUUUUUUGAACUUUGUUGAAUGUUUAGGUAGUCAAUAUAAGGGUGCAAAACAAAGAGUCGAUGGAAUUGACAAAGACAACUUCACCUACAGCUAUACUAUUCUUGAAAGCGAUGCCUUCAGUGAUAAGAUUGAAAAAGUAGCUAACGUGAUUAAAAUCGAAGCCUCAGCUGAUGGAGGGUCAAUCUGUAAGACCACCAGCACAUACUACCCCAAGGGCAAUAUCGAGUAUACCGAAGAACAAAUUGAGGGAGCAAAACAGCAAAUUAAGGCAGCAAAAGAAAGGUCCUCGGCCAUGUUCAAGGCUGUGGAAGCCUACCUCAUCGCAAAUCCUGAUGUAUACAAGUGAUCAAUGCUGCUUCAUAUAUGUCCACAUACUUGUUGGAUGAUUGAAAUAAACAUAUUGAGGAUCUGUUUUC